UACGGAUGUUUUAUGAGGGACACGGGCGGUGCCGAGGUGGAAAUUUUCAUCCUGGACAUGGGCAGUGCCAAGGCGGACCCACUUGAUGCCGAUGUGGAAAUUUUCAUCCUGGACAUGGGCAGUGCCAAGGCGGACCCACUCGACGCCGAGGCGGACGAGGUGGACUCACUUGAUGUCGAGGCGGCCAUGGGCGGUGCUAGUGCCGAGACAUAAGCUGGCGAUGUCGUGCCGGACAUCCGCACGGCGGUGUGAAGAAUAAUGGCGGACAUUGGCGGUGGCGGUGGGGAAGUCAGCGUGGACAUUAGAACAAAGGUCGGUGUCGGUUUCGAUGCCGGUGGUGGUGUCCGAACCUUGUUGAGAACAAAGGGGCUCCAAAUUUGUGUUCCUACGCAAAAGCUUCCUUCUGGUGCUGGCAUCAGAAGGAACGUCUGAAGGCAAAGAAUCAGAGAAAGAGCGUCAGACAAAAGCACGAGAUGGACUACUACAAGGGUAAGGGUGCACGACUGAGGGAAGGAGGAUUGAUUAAUCGAUUGAUCGAUUGAUCCAUAGAGAAAUUGCAGAGAGUCGACAAGGCAUCACCCACCCCACCCCUCCCCCCUCCCCCCGCCCAAGAAAAUUCAUCGGAGCAACAAUUCGAUUCCGUUACGCUAGCUAUAGACAGACAGAUACCCUCUGCUAACAAUGGAUGGGAUGGAUGGACGAAGGGUUUACCAAGAUGUUAAAUCAACAACAAAUAUGCCCAACAUCUCAUCAAAACCACCAUCCUUGUUCUUCGACACUCCAAAAAAGGAAUUUAAAAUUAUAAAAAUAUAAAUAGAUCCUUCAUCCGAGAGAGACCUGAUUUGAAAUAAGGGCGUCCGCCCUGCCAUUCUGACCCCCUACCCACGUCUCGCCGUAGACGGAGACGAGCACGCUGCCGGUCCGGUAGGGCAUGCACUUGAACUCGGCAAUUUCGUGGUAGCACGGCGGAAGGGAGGUGAGUUUGGCAAGGAUGGCCUCCUUGCCCUUGAUCUCCCGGCCGUCGAAGUUCAGCACCGACUCUUCCCGGUACAGGUUCACCAAGCCCGCCCGAUUCGUGUCGAACGUCCUGUAGUAGUUCACCAUGAACCGCUUCGCCUCCUCCGCCCGACCCAUGUCUUCUGGCUUGACCCUCCACAUCUCUUCCUCUUCCUCUUCCUCUUCCUCUUCCUCCUCCUCGUUCUGUGCGCGAUUCAGAGAGAAAUCCCUAGCGCCGAUUCUUCUUCCAGAGUUCCCUUCCCUUUAUAUAUUUUGGAAUCGGUUGGGUCCACCUACCGACCCGGUUUCUUGUCGUGGCCCAUGUAAUCCCAAAAGCCCCUAUAUAAAGUCAUCGUGGCCUUUGACCAAAAAAAUAAAAAUAAAGAGGGAUGACAACGGGCUUUUCCUUCCCCUAAAGGCCUAGAGGACCGUCCCUGAUGAGCAUCGACAGCGGCAAGAUCACUUUCAAGGACAGAUUUUUAGCAUGCUUGGAGGUUGUUAUCAGCAGUAGUGUAUAGUUGGAGAAGACGACAAAAAUAAUCUCUCGACUUCAAUCUAACGUGUAACGUGAUUUCUAAAUUCUAAAGUUGUUCAAUGUGAUCAUUGAAUUUUAGUUCAACGUCUAUUAUCAUUCAUGAAUUUUUAAUUUAUUUGAUGUGAUUUAUGAACUUUUGAUAUAUAUUUAAUCUAAUCAUUCGACUAUGUGAAAAUAUUCAUUAUUGUCCAUGAACCUGAAUUAAUAAAAAGAUAACAUUGAAUUUUUUCAUAUACUUCAAGUAUUAGAUUGAAUAUGUAUCAAAAGUUUAGGGAAUAUACUAAACAAAAUAAAAGUUUCGGGACAACAUGCACAUUAGGCUAGAUUUCAUGGGGUAUAUUGAGUAAAUUCAAACUUCAUUGACCACUUCAAAGUUCAAAAGCCAUUUUGUAUAAUUAUCCCAAUUAGCUGUGAGAAAGACACGAUGAUCAAUUGCUAUAUUUAUGGUUCAUUCUAAAUCUUAAAGUGUAUUUGUUUUACCGAAAACUUAUAAUGAAUGAAUAUAUUUUCCCCUUGGGAACAUUUUCAAGGAAAAUGCUUAAUUUUUAUUUGUUUGGUGAUUUACGAAAAGUGGUUUCUUUCUUACUAUAAGGGAAAGUAAUUUUCCCUUGAUCUGAGCUUAUUAUUUUAAGUUUAUGGAAAACGUUUUGCACAAAUCGAUUAGUUUUCGAUCAUUCAAACACAAGAAAGUUCGAAAAUAAUAUUUCCAAAACAAUUUCCCUUCAAAUAUAAUAUUUCUGAUGUAAUUUUCACGUCGACAACCGGCAUUAAGCAAGAGGAAAAUGACAAGCAUGAAGCACAUAGACUAUUACGCACAAUCACGAUCUAUAUGAAUAUAGAUUGUGGCGACAAACAUGUUAAAUCAAAGUCGUAUCCCCGGAAAAAAAAAAAGUACGGCAAAUCAUCACGACUUUUGGUUCGGUUCAUCCACUUCAUCGCCACAAAACAUGACCCAUCGCCUACGUGGAGCCAUGUGUCGGAUUCUAAAUGGUCUUACCCUACGCCUACGUGGAGGGUAAGACCCACCAAAUAUUUUCUUGGAAACAUGAGCAAUGCAAAAGAAAGAGAUCCGAAAGCGGGGCCACAAUUGCCACGUGUUGAUCGGUAGAUGUUUUGUUAUAAAUCCUACGUGGCACAUUAAAUACACCCAGUAUUCUGUCGUCGUCUUCUUCUCUCCCGUCCAUGCAUGCCCUAUACAAACGUACACCCGCACAACCAUAACCAGACGGUCCUUAUCCAUAUCUCCCUCUCUCUCUCUGAAACACCGCCAUCUCCAUCCUCAUCUUCACUUUGAAACAGCUCCACCGCCAUCGAAACCUGCCUCCGGCCAUGGAUUUCAAAUGCUCCGCCUCCGACCUAGCCUCGCUCGCCAACUCCACCGCGCCCCCCCCCCCCCCCCCCCCCCCCCCCCGGGGAAUCCGACAACGCCCUCCUGGCCACCUUCUUCUGCAGCCGCCUCGACGCCAUCUCCAACAAGUUCGCCGACGCCGCCCACGCUGUCGACAGCACCUACUUCCUCUUCUCCAUGCAGCUCGGCUUCGCCAUGCUCUGCGCGGGCUCCAUCCGCGCCAAGAACACCAUGAACAUUUGGCUUCGCCUUCGGGUCUCCCUCCAACGGCUUCUUCGGCCUCAAGGAAGUCCCCUCCGCCUCCGUGGACUACAGCUUCUUCCUCUACCAGUGGGCCUUCGCCAUCGCCGCCGCCGGCACCAUCAGCGGGUCCAUCGCCGAGCGGACCCAGUUCGUGGCCUACCUCAUAUACUCCUCCUUCUUGACGGGGUUCGUCUACCCGAUAACCUCUCACUGGUUUUGGUCCGGCGACGGCUGGGCCAGCCCGUCCCGGUCCGACGGCAACCUCUUGUUCGGGUCGGGCGCCAUCGACUUCGCCGGGUCGGGCGUGGUCCACAUGGUGGGAGGGAUAGCCGGCUUCUGGGGAGCCCUCAUCGAGGGCCCGCGCCUCGGCCGGUUCGACCAGGCCGGGCGGGUCGUGGCCCUGCGGGGCCACAGCGCGUCCCUCGUGGUCCUCGGCUCGUUCUUGCUGUGGUUCGGGUGGUACGGCUUCAACCCGGACUCCUUCCUCACCAUCCUAAAGACGUACGACGGCGCCGGUGGGGCGGACGGCAGUCACCACCACGCUGUUCGGCAAGCGGCUGCUGGUGGGCCACUGGAACGUCACCGGCGUGUGCAACGGCCUGCUCGGCGGGUUCGCCGCCAUCACGUCGGGUUGCUCCGUGGUGGACCCGAGGGCCGCCAUCGUGUGCGAGUUCGUGUCCGCGUGGGUGCUCAUCGGCUGCAACAAGCUCGCGCAGCUGGCCAAGUUCGACGACCCGCUCGAGGCGGCGCAGCUCCACGGGGGCUGCGGCGCGCGGGGGCUGAUCUUCACGGGCCUCUUCGCGCGGCGGUACGUGGACGAGGUGUACGGCCGUUCCGGGCGGAGGUACGGGUGGCUCGCGGGCGGCGACGGGCGGCUGCCGCCGGCGCAGGUCGUGGAGGUCCUGGCGAUCGCCGGGUGGGUGACGGCCACGAUGGGCCCGCUCUUCUACGGGCCCCACAGGCUGGAGCUGCUGCGGGUGUCCGGCGACGACGAGAAGGAGGGCAUGGAUCUGACGAGGCACGGCGGGCUCGCCUACGUCUACCACGACGACGGCGGCGACCAGCCGAUCAUUAUCCCUCCCGACGGGAGGAGGGUGGAGCCCACGGAUCGGAUGAUCGGAACGGCACGCCAGCCGUCUGAUCCAUCCUCGGGGGGGAGUGGGGCCCACAUAAGUGCGUGGGCUUUGGACGGCUGCGAUUCGCUUUCAGGACGAUCAGGGCUUUGUCAAGAAACGCGCGGGCGUCCCAUCCCAUGUAUUUACGGCGUUUUGUCGUCAUCUCUCUCUCUUAUUUCCUUUUCUUUUCUUUUCUUUGGACUAAUCCUCAAAUCGAUAAAAUAAAAAUAAAUAAAUAAAUGGCGAGGAUAACCUAUUGAUGCGAUUUAGGUUGUAAAUUUAAUGUGAAAAUUAUAUCGAAAAUAAGGGUUUUCCUACUCUCUCUCUCUCUUGGCGGGAAAUUGAUAAGAAUGUUGUGAUUCUUGGUUGUGCAUUCUUCUUGCUUUGGAUUAUUUCUUGGAAUUUUGUGGACAUGAAAUUAAAGGUCGUGCUCAAAUUGUACGACCAAAAAGGAGAGAUGUUGGUAUGCGUGUGCAUGGGCAAGCACAAAUCUCGAAGAGGACCAUUGAAAAGAUUUUAAAACAUAGGAGUCGCGUUCUCAUCAAGAUAGAUCUUAAUUGGAUCAAUACAUCAGCAUGUCGUUGAACCUCAAGACCCUUUCGAUGCUGCAUAUCCAAAAGAUCAUUGUUGCAUUGGAUAAGAUCGAUUUUGUUUAGAUGCUCUUGUGAUGAACAUCCCUCUCGACUAACGUGAUGUAAUGCGGGAAUAGUUCUCGCUGCGAGGAGUUGCCGUAGGCAAUGAAGUGAAAUCGCAAUGGGGAGGACUUGGUUGGUCUAACUUGAGCUGCCCAUUUAUGUUAGAGCGUCAUGCGUAAUGUUUCUCUUUCAAAUGCUUGAUCGAUCAUUCAUUUUUUUUUCAUUUACAUGGUAUACAUAACUCGCACUAUAUUUAUAUAGAGAAUCAUUUAUUUAUUUAUUUAUUUUCUCAUGAAUCUCCAUAUUACAAAAGGAUUUUUUUUUUCAGUAAAUGUGUCGCAAUUAAUUACUCCUAUAUAUUUUUUUGUAAAUAAAAAAAAAUUAGAUUUUCUUCCUUAUUUACUAUGGCGAUGUAAAAUAUACAAUAUAAAUAUUUAAACUCACUAAAAUUCCCAUAAUUGAAAAGAAAAAUAUAAUAUAUAUUUCCCAUCCAAACCAUCGAAAUUUCCAAGGAAUAACCUCCGAAGAGGCAGAGCCGGUAUUCACCUGGACAGUGCAAUUGAUUUUCGAGCGAAGAAAAAUAAAAAAAAACGCAAUCACUCUCUCCUCUCCUCCCUCGGAUACUCCCUCUCCUUGAUCGAGAUCAUCACCGUCGACUUACACAUGGGCCCAAGCCACCACGUGUAGUCUCGCGAUUGGCCAUGAUGAGAUCCUCCGUGACCGCCUCAUGCUCCUCUUGAAGAAAGCUCUUGCAUGCAGCAUGUAGAAGGAGAAGAGAAAAAAAAAAUGGGGUUGAAGAGAAGUGUCUGCGGAUUCUUCAACAGUGCGAACAAGAUCGACAAGCACUUCUCCAAGGCAUUCACAGCGCUCAAAAAUGCUAUUCAUCGAGCGCCACGGAGCUGAGCUUCGACAUCUGCAGAGUUCAUGCUGUACCAACCUCAACUCUUUUCUUUGACACCUAGUUUAUCAAUUAAGUCUCGUUUGAGUUUGUUUUCAACCACUCUAUUUAUCCUCGUGACGACGGGCUCCCUCUCCUUUCCCUUGCCCCUGCUAUCACGGCAUUCUAAUAACUUGAAGUUCCCCGCUCCUGCUCCUGUCGAGUGAAAAGCCAAGCACACAUGGUGGAUCACGUGAGCAUAAUGAAUGAAGUCGAAGCGAAAAGUACUGUGACUCACUCACGAAUACGUUGUCUUGGAAAUCGCGGUCACGGUCGAGACUGUGGGUCGAGCAACUGGUCCGUUCUUGAUUUUCUUUUUCCUUUUCAUCGAGUUCUUUCUGAUCUAAUGCAGGUAGGAGGUUCAGCAGCCCCAGCACCCACACCAGCAGCGACGGGGGUGGCUCGACUCGACUAGAAACUUUCUACCUAUUGUUCCACGUAUUGUUCGGUUUACUGAAGCUGCUGAUAAUCCCGCGUUCCCAAUCGGGAUGAUCAGGUCUGUGAGCCUGUAUUGGGUGUACUGGUACUUGUACAUCGGUUCCAAGACUCUUGAAGUUGCUUCUUUGGAUGAACUUUUCUCUUGUACCUUAGCUGGUCGUUAAUCUGUGCUUAGCAGUGUGCUUUGGAAUUGUACGAAGGGAUCACCCAAGAUGUUAAAUCAACAGCAAAUAUGCCUAACAUCUCAUCAAAACCACCAUCCUUGUUCUUCGACACUCCAAAAAAGGAAUUUAAAAUUAUAAAAAUAUAAAUGGAUCCUUCAUCCGAGAGAGAGACUUGAUUUGAAAUAAGGGCGUUCGCCAUGACAUUCUGGCCCCCUACCCACGUCUCGACGUAGACGCAGACGAGCACGCUGCUGGAUGCGCGGUAGGGCAUGCACUUGAACUCACACUGUAAAAUGGGAAUUUCCAAGUAACACGGGCUUUGCAGGAUUGAGCACCAUAAAGGAAGACUGAAAUUUACUAUGAAAUAGAACCAUGUGGACACAGAGAAAGAUCUUGAGGCUGAGCUCCAAAUAUAUAGGCCCAUAAAGGUACGAACUUUGAUACAUUAUGUUAUAGGAUCGAUGCAUGUACACGGUGUAAACCAAAAGGAUACCCCUAGACCCUUAUUGAUACACGGGGUAUGGAAGUUUGAUACAUGAUUUAUGUGGCCAUGGGCUCUUAGCUAACUAAGGUGGUGUGAUUCUCUCAUGGUGUUAGUAUUAGUUUGAUAAUUAAUUUAUGGUGCCAUCAUGAAUUGAUUGAUGGCAUAAAACAUAUGCUUAAAUGAAUCAUGAUUCCAUACUUCAAAAUUCUUGUAUAGAAGAAUUUAACCUUUUUUCACAAUGAAAUCAUGAAAAUUACUGGUGUACUUAAGAGAAAAAGGAACUUGCUAAAUUUGCUCGUUCAGUUUCAUCCAUUCAAUACAUUGGCAAUAGCUUUAUCUUCUUCUUCGGCUGAUAAUAAUAAAGUAAAAGAAAGGAACAAUUGAUUGAGAAUUACUAAAAUUAUUAAUUUCUAAUCAUGCACGAAUUUUUAGUUCAAAAAAAAAAAAUCAUGCAUGAAUUUUAUAAUAUUUGGGUAUAUUGGGCAAGGUAAUUCGCAAAAUUUAAUUGUGGUCGAUGUGUUUUCUAUUUGAUGAAAAUUAUGGGUAUAUUGGGCAAGGUAAUUCGCAAAAUUUAAUUGUGGUCGAUGCGUUUUCUAUUUGAUGAAAAUUAAGGAUUGCCUUCCUUUACUUAUCCAGAUAAGUGACUUUUUUGCCUAUUUGAAUUAAUUGAAUCUACAAGUCCCUCACCAAUAUCAUUAUGUAUAAAUACAUCAGAAAUCUGCCGACCCAAUAAAUAAUCACAAAUCGGAAAAAUUCAAGAUUUCACGUUCCCGCCUUCGCCUCGUUGCUUUCCUUCUCGCCGCCGCUGUGUCUCGACCUCCAUCGCCGCCCUCCUCUUCCCCGAUCGCCACCCGACUAGACCGCUGUACGAUUCUUGGGUUUUUGGCGGCGGAUUGUGGCUCGACUCCGGCCUGUUUCAGACCCUCUCUCGCUUUCCGCCCUCCUCUUCCCCGAUCGCCACCCGACUAGACCGCUGUACGAUUCUUGGGUUUUUGGCGGCGGAUUGUGGCUCGACUCCGGCCUGUUUCAGACCUCUCUCGCUUUCCGCCCUCCUCUUCCCCGAUCGCCAUCCGACUAGACCGCUGUACGAUUCUUGGGUUUUUGGCGGCGGAUUGUGGCUCGACUCCGGCCUGUUUCAGACCCUCUCUCGCUUUCCGCCCUCCUCUUCCCCGAUCGCCACCCGACUAGACCGCUGUCCGAUUCUUGGGUUUUUGGCGGCGGAUUGUGGCUCGACUCCGGCCUGUUUCAGACCCUCUCUCGCUUUCCGCCCUCCUCUUCCCCGAUUGCCAUCCGACUAGACCGCUGUCCGAUUCUUGGGUUUUUGGCGGCGGAUUGUGGCUCGACUCCGGCCUGUUUCAGACCCUCUCUCGCUCUCCAGUCGCUCUCCCGUCGAGAGCCGCCAUGGAAUCUGCAAACUUGGCCGCUUUCUUUGGUGGCCAAUUUUACUUUUCUUUCGACUCUAGUCGUCUGUAUGUGCCGCUUUAUUACGGGGACACGUCAACUGCGGUUUAUGAUGGUCACGUUGCCUCUGGCCUCCAACAUAUAGAAGCUCUUUUCUUUUCGGAAUAUUUUGCCGACAUCUCCCAUCUGAUCACCCGUAUGUCAUCGUCAACGGACUCAAUUACAGGUCGGCAUUCUUUCACCUUCGCCGGUGUCAUCCGCAUCGGCGAAGAGUUCAGAGACUUUGAGGAGGUAUGCUAUCUUUCUCUCUUUCUUGGUUAAUUUGAUAUUAAUUUUUGCGAUUUGAAGAUGAAAAUGUCGAUUCUGCUUGGUGUGGCUCAAAUGAAUCUUGAAAUUAUAUUGAGCUUUUUUAAUGCCAAAUUCUUUGGCAAUUGCGUGAAUAUCUGGUAAUUGUAGUCUUUGAUAUUUGCAAGCUUCAAAUUUGAUAUCUUUUAAAAAUCUUUUAAGUUAUUUUAGCUCUGAUAUAUAUUUCUUUUUAGAUGUUUUUCUCUCCUCUUUCUUUCGUAUUAAUUUGAUAUGGAGGGGCUGCUAUUUUCUUUUUUUCUUGUAUUAAUUUAAUACUUAUUUUUUCCCUUUAGAUGUUUAUUACGGAGGGGCUGCUGAUCCCUCCUUGGAAUGGACAGAUCGUAUACAGCAACUUCCGUUCAUCUCCACGGCAAGACCCAUUACCUUAUCCCAUGCCGGUGCCGCCAGUGCAAGAGCUGGCUGGAUUAUACCCAAACUCCCCGGUAUAUCCAAUGCCAAUGACAUUCCCACCACCAUUCCCUCACGAGGGCGCACAACCGGGGCCAUUCCCUCAGCAGCCUGUGCAACCGGCAGGGAAUCCAUUCCCACUAGCUGGCGAGGCGGCCGAGAGUCAAGGCAGCCACCAUCCAGCGAACCCAGACGCGUGACGGAACAUAUUUUUGUAUUCAUCAGCCAGAAGAUAGCUCUUUUUGUAUUCCCACUGUUGCAAUGGAUAGUGAUGGUAGCGUAAAACUGCAAGCAAUAAGCAUUGCAGAAUAGGACAUGGGUCAAUGGGUCGCUUUUGGAGGUCUACCAACGGAUAUGGUCACAAUUUGUGAUAAUGUCACCUCUCAAAACAGAAUUGCAUUUGACUGCACGAUCUAUUUUGACAGAGCUUUCCAGCAAAAAAAAAAAGUGAUGUUCUAGUUGUUGCCCAUAUCCGAAGAACUGUCUUACGAUGAAAGUAAUAGUCCUGCCAGGGAAAUGCAGUGUCUCGUCUAACGAAGUUCGAAAAAGCCGGAGGUUCAUGCUCCCUUUCACUCUCCAGGCUAAUUCAGUCUAUUAUUAGAUACAGGUAGAGGUUGAAUUAGGUUCAAUCUAAAAGUAAUGGUUUUGCAUCAUCUCACCAGAGCAGAAGGUGCCUGGUAAACAAGUGGGGUCUGCAUUUGUUGAUAGGCUUCCUGCAUACUUCCAUAGACUUGCCCCAGACUUGCGUUGUUACCCAUGCAUUUACGAGCAGUUGAUGCAAGCCCAUUCCGAAGUAACUGCAUGGCAUAAACAUAUUGCAAAAAGCCAGACACUAAAGAUCUCCAAAGAUGGAAAGGGCUGAGCCAAGGCCUACAUCUCUUUCGCGAUCAAUAGCACCAGCAAGUUGGUAUAUGAUUCAAGCCAAGCUACCUUCGGAGUUCAAAAUAGCAUCAGUAAGAAUAGCGAAAGACGAGGACUCGAUUAUCGAUGAAGAAGAAAGGACUGAAUUCCAAUUCACUAAUUAGGAGGUGAUGGAGUUAGAAAAACUCACAGUGCAUAACUCCAAAAAUCUCAAAACAAUUAAAAUAUCAGCUAAAAUUAAUCAUAGACCUGACUAUAAGGUUUUGGUCGAUGGAGAAUCCACAUUGAACCUUAUUCCAUACGGCUCAGGUCUUCUACUUUUCGUGAUGCGUACUUUGCUGCUUUAUCUUCGUGUUACCGAUCUUGAUUGUGAUUGUUUAUUUAUUUGGUUGCCCAUUCAUGCAUGGUCACCACGUAGUGGUUUAAGUUUUUAAAAUGGAAGAAGAUCACAUACAAAUAUUUCAGAAAAAUGAGAACAAAAUGGUGCCUAAUUAGACUUAGUGUAACCAAGUCCAAAUUUUUAGGAUCUCUGGUUCAUGGAAAGUACAAUGAUUUCUCAUAUUUCACUUGACUCCGUCAACCUAGAAUAGGUUAGUGGUGAUUCUCAAAAGCAAAAGAACAUGUUAAUCAUAAUGACCAAAUUAACCAAAUGUCGCGAAUUAAUACCCGCUUAGCAUAACCUCAUACGAGGCUUCGAUUGUUCUCACAUGGCAAGUCAUCAUUGUAAUUGACGCCCUGUCCAUCCUCCGAGGGAGGCUCGCGCCUAUACAUACUAGCAAAAAAAAAAAUUAAACAGAUUAGCAUAUCAUUGAUUAUGUUUGAAGACAUGAAUCAUUCUAGAAGAUGAGACUGUAAAAUGAAAAUUAUUUGAAGGAUAAAAACGUGCUUGAAAAUCAUAACUAAAGAGAAAAUCUUUGAAAAAAAUGGUAUUUUAGUGAACAUGAUUUAGAUGGAAAUAAGAUAAGCAUACAUUGACACUAUUAUAAAUCAUAGGGAAAAAUGUUUGAAAAGUCAACCUAUUACAUUUUGGUUAAUUUAGUCCUAAUUUUUUUAAUUUUAUCAAUUGAGUCCUAAAAUCUUCUUAUAUUUUGCCAAUUGAGUCAUUUCGGCUAAUUUUAGCCAAAAAUCGUUGACGUAGAUGCUGGGGUAUCCUACAUGGUAUGGUCAGCAUUAACGUUGACAAUUUUAUAAUUUUUUAAAAAUUUCCAUUUUUUUAUUUUCUUUCAUUGUUUCUUUUUCUCUUUUUUCUUCCAACCCCCAUGAGGGUAGGCCAACCCUCAUCGGUCAAGGGCAAGGGAAGUGACCCUUGCCCAAUGGCUAACAAGGGUUGGUGGGACCCUCGCCGAACUUGAUUGAAAAAAAAAAGGAAAAGAAAGAAGAAAAGAAACGAGAUAAAUAAUAAUAAAAAUUAUAAAAAAUGUUCACUUCAGUGUUGGUCAUCCUAUGUGGCACUACCGGUGUCCAUUUCGUCGAUUUCCAGUUAAAAUUGGCUGGAUGGUUUCAUUUGGCAAAACGUGUAAAGGUUUAUUAUUCAAUUAGCAAAAUUGAAAGAUUUAAAACUCAAUUGACUAAAGUACAAUAGGUUUAAGACUUUUUUGAUGAUUGUUCCAUAAUUUAUAAUUAUCUCAACUCUUCCAAAUUUCCAAAUUUCCGUUAAAACUAGGGGUGAGCAUCAAGGGUAGAACCUAGAACCUGAGAACCAAAAUGAUGUGGACUUGUUUGGCUCCAAGUUCCAAGGUAUACAGAGUUGAUUUCAAAUUCUAAAAAUUUAGGAACUUGUUUUAACGGAUAGGUUGCAAGUUCUAGAUUGGUGGUACUUAGAACUUAGAACCUAGAAUUUGGAAAAAGUUUCUAUAUUUUUCUUAGUUUAUAUUUUCACACAAAACUUGCGAUACUCUAUUGUAUUUAAUAAUGAGUGUAUAAUCUGAAACCAUUAGUCUGAACUUCCAUUUUAUAACUAAGACUUUUACAUUGUUAAUGUUUUAUAUUUUUUCGUGUGUCUAAAUAUAAGUUAUGAUCAGUAAAUUGUAACAAUAAGUGGUAGUAAUUAAAGAUUAUAAUUCAUUGUAAUCAUUCAAUUUAUAAUAUAAGUGGAACAUAAGUAGACCAUGGAACCAGACCGAGAACCUGUAAUGGGGUAAGUUCUAGGUUUCAACGUAUAAACGGUAGAUUUCGGGUUCCAAAAACUGAGGAACCUAUUUUAACAUGAAGGUUUUAAGUGGAAUCUGUAUAGAACCUAGAAAUGUUUACCCCUAAUCAUAAUGAUAAUCAUAUUUUGACUUAUUAUAUAUAGGAUGGACCAUCAUUAUCGUAUUUUGGAAAAUGGUUUCUGAUUUAUUUAAAGAGGAAGUCCAUUUUUUGUAUUUAAAUAAAAUUUUCUUGGUAUAUGUAAAGAUUUUCUAUUGACUCAAUUUUAAAAUAAUCCAAACACUGCAAACAAGGAAAAUAUUCCUCAAUAGUAAAUUUUUACUGAGACAAUUGGUUUUUAAAUGUUAAGUACAUCAAAUGGGACCAUAAUUAUGCAUUAGAAUGUGGAAACUAUUCAUCCAUAGUCGUACCGUCCAAAAAAAUGUAUCCUUAUUUGGUUAUAUUCGAUCGCACUCACUCUUCGGUUUUCGUACAAAUGCAAUAAAUUGACUCGUAUUUAUAUAUUUAACAAGUUGACAUUGAAUUGCUAAUUAUCAAUUACACAUCUCACGGCAAAAAGUUAGUGCACUACAUUCGUACCUUUUAACAAAAUCCUAUUUGUAUAUCACCAGAUUGAUUCGUCUAAUUACUGAAGUUGAUUAAUGAGAUAAUACUUUUUAAAAAGAGUAAAGAUUGAAAGAAUUAUAAUAUAGCUAUCUUGCAACUCCUCCGGUCAUUGAUGAAGCCAUCGAAGUACAUAUAUCUUAAUUAUCAUCAUUAGAGAUAAGUACUUUGUAAAACGUCCUUACAUCAUAUAUCAGUGUAUAUAUUAUCUUAAUAUGGGUUAAUAUAUUUAUCAUAAGUUUGAAAUGACGUCAAAGUGUUGGGAAGCUACUUGACCAUACGGUUCACUAAUUAAGGAGGAACUAGGCAAAACUAUAGUAGUUCUUGCCAAGUUCGGAAGAACUAUAAUGUGUUUAAAUGAGAAAUUUAUAUCAAGCACCAACUCAUCUGAUAAUGGAAGCUUGGUGACGUAGCUGUGGUCUUCUACAUCCAAUUUCUGUCAAGCCCUUCUCAAAAGCUACUUACAUUCAGCACACAUAUGUUACCUAACUUCAUCAAAUAAAUGUAAGUUGUAAUCAAUACCGACUGUAUGGCUAAACCAAAUGUGUGUUGAAGAACAAAUCUACAAAAUAUAUGAUUAAACACUCUAACCAUAUUUACCAUGAAGAGUUUCAUAAAGUAACACAAACUUUGCUUAAAUAGUCUCUAAAAGGACAAAGGAGACAACCAGAGUAAUUCACAAACUUUGCUUAAAUAGUCUCCAGAGGACAAAGCAAACAACCAAAUAUAAAUUUCUAACUUCAGCUAUAUCAUAUACUAUUAUUUAAAAUCAUGGGCAUUUCCAUUAGAUUUCAUAAGUGAUCCCUACUUUGAGCAGCCUCUUGUGGGGAACGUUGAACACGUCCUCUGGCUGCCUCACGCACCUCUUCAACCAGUUGUACAGGCAAUUGAUUACAAACCUUUUUGCAAAGCCUGAGCCCCUCGAAGCUUUCACCUCACUCUGUCCCAUUAGAUACAUGAUCCCUCCAAUCUUGAUUGCUUCAUCCACCAAUCCAAUCUCUCUUUGCACUCCCUCUUCAUUGAUCAUCGCGAUUCCAUGGUCACUGGCCUCACCUCGCUCGUCGGCGUAGGGUGCGUUGUUGUGAAUGAAAUCCUUCAAUUGGUCAAUCAAGACCUUCUCGAAGAAUUGCGGCUCUAUUUUUGCAUCUCGAUAUCCGUAUCUCACAACGCACCGGUACAUGCCCGACACCUGCGGCUCCACCCGUCGAAAGAAGAACCGCUCCUCGAGGGGCACGUUGCUUAUGGGUAGUGACUUGAUUGAGACGAAGACAAGGACUGAGUGCAAUGCAGGUACAUCGGCGACAUAUUGAGCGAAUAUUGGGGAAAUCCCAUGGACAAGCUCGGUGUAGAAUAGGGCGACCCCGGGGGACCGGUGGAUCGUGUUUGACAUGAUUGUGACAAGGGCUUCUCUUGAUACCUUGUUCUCAAGCUGAAACUCAUACUUCUUUCGAUAUCCGUAAUUCCAUAGCAACAUAAUGGUCAUCAUCACGGCAGCGAAGAAGAGUGGGACGUAACCCCCAUCCAAGAAUUUGUAGAGGACUUAGCUUAGAAACACGUACUCUAUGAGCCCGAUGGUGAGGACAUAGAGGAUUACGAGGAGUAUGUUGGUCUUCCAAGUCAUGACCAUCACGAUAACGAGGAAUGUGGACGUGAUAGCGAAAACAAAUGCUACCGCAAUUCCUGCAGUAGAGAUUCCCGAAUAAAUGUGAAUUUUUCUUUCAAUAAUCCCAAUUAAAUAGCUUAAUCAAUUAGGGAAUUUGCAUAAGUGGGCUAAAUGUGUGUAUACAGUGUGAUCCUUUUUGCUUACCGUAAGCAUUGCCCAACUUCAAUGUGGUUUUGAAGCCAAGAGUGACUCCAACACAGGUCAACAUGAGGAGGGUGUUGACCUCAGGUAUGUAAAUCUGACCCUCGUGCUUUCGCGAAGUGUGCACGACCUUCACGUUUGGGAAGCACCCGAGCGCGACUGACUGCUUAACUAUGGCAAACGUGGCUGAUAUCAUGGCUUGACUUGCUAUUGUCGCCGCCAACACCGCAAUCACAAACAUUGGCCAAUACACCGAUUCUGCAUCAAACCAUCAGAUAAAUUCAUUCGAUGUCCCAACAGGAUAAAUGAUGCAUCGGAUGAAGUAGCAUGAGGAAGCUUACUGGGUAGUGAGCUGUAGAAAGUGCUAGCAACAUUUUCACUGUGCUUUCGGAGAUAUGCCGCUUGACCAAAGUAGGCGAGGAUGAUUGAAGGAAGGACAACUAGGCAUGAACUCAAUUGAAUUGAGAGGAUAUUAAAGUGCCCCAGAUCAGCAAACAAUGCUUCAGAACCUAUAAUCAAAGGCUCAAAGAGUAAAACCACAAUUAAUUCUUCAAAAGAAGUUAUAUAUCUUGGUUAAAAUGAAAUAAGAAUUAACUAAUAGAUGAAUCAUUUAAAUGAUGUUUAGCUAUAUGUUUUCAGUUAUAAUAAUUAAUCGAUGAAAAGAUUCAGAUGUUUGGAUUACCAGUGAGGCAAAGAAUCACCCCUCCAAGAGAAAUCCAUGCUUCCUUUUUGUUUCUCAUGAAGUAAUGGACGAUGCAGAGCGGAUUGACGGCUUUGAUCACUCCCGAGUCAUGUUUCGCGAUAUUAUAGAUGCCAAUUAGUCCGAUACCAAGGAACCAUAUAGAGAGAAUCGGGGCAAAACUGUAUCCAACUUUGUGAGUCCCGAACCUUUGGACUUGAAACAGAAGGAUCAAGAUCACCACAGAGAUCCACAUUAUUUGAUUUUCUCCAAGUGAACUUGCAGCUCCUUGUAUUCCCCCAACAGCCGACAAUACUGCCCCCAGAGAAGAAGAAAAGAAUCAGAACCAUCUAUCAAAAUUCAACCGAGAGAAGUAAUUGUAUCAAUAAAUAAGCCGAGAAGAUGUAUAUUGUUGUUUUAUACUACCGAUUGAAUGUGCUGUCUCAUUUCCUUCGUAGAUUAAGGGAAAAGUUAGAAACCUAUUGGUGCAUCCUUUUCUUUUAAAAAAAAAUCUUAAUGAAAAUAUUACUACCGGAUAUGCAUGGUGUAAGAAUUCCAUCUCCAAUGACCAUGGCGGUGCCCAGAAUAGUUACAAAUAAGAGCAAGUACUUGGCUGCUUCACUAUUCUCGAGAAAUGAUUUCAUGGCGGAGGCCCGCCGGAAGCGGCGGCUCGGCACCUCAAGUCGGUAGUUCAAGACUUCCUUGUCUUCAGCUUGUUGGUUAGGGGUCAAGCUUGCCUUAGCAUAGCGGCACAUUAGAGAGUACAAAGCAAACGUCCCUCCUAUAUUGUUAUAGCCAAAAACCUAACUACAUUAGUGCAAUAUUUGGUAUAGACAAAAAAAAAUAAAACCCUUGUAUGUCAAAUAAAAUUUUGUGGUAUAAUGGUGUGAGAGGAAUCGCUUACCAUCCCCAUUGUCAUUUGCCGAUAAAACAAUGAAGACAUACUUGAUCAAGCCAAUGAGGAUGAUCGAAUAGAAGAUUAGAGAUACUGCUCCAAGGAUAUCGUCUUCAUGUUUUAUCCCGUCAGGAAAAAUUCCUGACAUGACAUAGAGAGGCGAUGUGCCUAAAUCGCCGUACACCACCCCGAUGCUUUGAAUAGCAAGCUUCAAUAUCAUCACCCAUGCCAAAUUCUGCACUUAGAAAGACAGUAACCAAAUCAUGAUCAUGAAAGCAUUUCCUUAUCUUCAAACCAAGGAGUACCCUGAAUUUUUUUUUUUUUUCCAAGCGGAGUAUUUUUCAUGAAAGAAAAACUUUAUUCUUUCUUUUUGAUUUUUCAGGGAACGAGAAGAACACUGACCUCUUUGGAGGAAUAACCAUGGUCCGACUUGAAUCGGGAGGUCUCUAUGUCGAACGAAUCGAAUUUCUUGAUUCUCCUCGAUCCCUUGUCUCCCUCAUAUCCGUCAGUCGAGUCGACUUCCACGACCUUCGGCCUCUCUUCCUCUGUCAUGCCGUCCCGCUCCAUUGAAGAAUCACAGCGAGAGAGAGAGAGAGAGAGAGAGGGGGGGAGAGAGAGAGACGAGAGUGGGUGGGAUAAUUACGCGACCACCUGCUUCAUAGGAGAAACACAGUCGACGCAUCACAAGGGAAGGAAAAGAAGGAUUCGUUCUUACGCGUUUACGUCUGCUGCAAAAGGGAAAUUGACCAAGAAGGGACCACCCUAUUUUUCCAUCCCUUUACAAUCUGCUUUCCAGUUUUGGAAAAAAAAAAAAAAGGUUUGACUUAAUACCAUCGAUCGUGAAGGCGCGUGAAUCUUUUUUUUUUUUUUUUUGGGGAAUGGGGUCUCUCGAAAAGGGCAUUAUUAGCACAUGAGAUACUUUAAGAGAGAGAGAGAGAGCCGUCUUCAAACCGUCCUUCUGAUCUGUAGGUUAUAAAUUAGGGCAUUCAUCCGCUUUUAAUCUGUGUUAAUCUGAACGUGGUUGAUGUUGGUAAAUAUCGGUAACGCAUUAAUUAAAAAACUUUCUCCGAACUCCUCCAUACAGCCAUUAUAACAUUUUAUUUUUCUAGUCAUUUGCCGUCGAAACUACCUAUUUAGUCAUAUGAUAUCUUUUUCGUGGCUAAUCGUGCUAUUAUCUUGUUGUCAUUACUUGCGGAAUUAAGUCUGAAAGUUGAAAAUAGCGGUGCCGGCCUACCACGUGAUUUUUUUGAAAAGUGCAGUUUUCGAUUUUUUACGUUUGGACGUACAAAUUUCCAGAUGUUAACAAUACUCCUAUUUUAUGGCCAAAAAACAAGACUCGAUUUCUGUCUCUAGAAGUAAAAGAUACCGUAUGCGUUGGUCAUUAAUUAGCCGGGGUAUCACCUAGAUCAAUCACCUAACUCCAGUUUCGAGCAAGGCGAUGACUUCAUUACUAAAUUAAGAACCCUCUUUUGGAAGAUUAUAUUUUUAGUAAUUCACUGAAAAGAUUAUGGAGAAAGUUCGUCGGUGAGGGUAUAAAAAGCAUGGGAUAUAUUCAAACGAAAUACUGCUGUUGCAUCAUUGUACGGAUCAAUUUCGCGAAUCAAUCAUCUAUCCCUAUCUUUUAGUUUUUAAUUUGAUUAGCAUAGUUGUUAUUAACAGAGAGUAGGCUUUAAACAUGGUUGGGCAGACCGCUAGACAAGUGAAGUCCUAAGGUCAUAUUUGGUCGUUUGGAUUUUAGGUUAAGAUAGGAUUGGAUAAAUAGGAUAAGAAAUCUGAGAAUUUUACUAUAUUAUAUUUACCAUUUAAUGUAGCCAAUAAAGCCAUAUACUUUCAUAUUCUAUCACGUCCACUAUUUGAUAUGAAUUACAAAUUAGUGUAAAUGAACUUGAAAAUACACAAAUAAAAUGGGUAAGACUCUCUCAAAUAAAAAAACAGAGAUAACCUCCAUUAAUCAAUCAAUCAAUCAAGGAUUAUCAUAAUAUUAUAUAACAAAUAAUCUCAUUGUAACAUUCUAGAGCCACUAUGCGACUAUGAUAAGAAAUGUGAAUGAGCAUUGGUAAUACUAACGAGGUAGAUCCAUUAGCCUAUGUCAAGAGAGGAAAAAGAAAAAAAGAAAAAUUUAGAAAAUCUAAAAUAAAUUGAAAAAUAUCAUAUACGUUAGUGCUGGCCAUAUCACGUAAAAUGGCUGGCACUUGAUCAUAUUAUCACGUUAGUAAUUUCAGGCCAAAAUUGAUCAGGUUGACUACAUUGGAAAAUUGUUAAAAGAUUUAAGACAUAUUGAUUGCAUUAGAAAGUUUAGAAUUAAAUUGACAACCAUAUAAUAAGUUUAGGAUUUUGUAGGCAAUUUUUCCUUUUCUGGUCACGUGUUCCAUUGAUUAAACAUGAAACUAAAUUUUAAACCUUGAUUUUGGAGAAUUUGAAUUUGGAACCUUUAGAUUUUUGGGAAAUGGAACAAUAAUUUAAUUUUGUUGACCUUACUGUUUUAUUAAAUUAAACUUAAAAGUCUUAUUACAUUAAUUACUUUCCGCACCAGGGUUGAUUAACGUUUUUGUGGUCCAAAUUUUUUAACAAACAUGUCCCGGUAGCCUCUUUUUUUUUUUUUUUUGAAGUAGAAGUAUUUUUCUUGCCACCGUUCGCAAAUUCAUAAGCAUUGGGGGUUUACAUUUAGGAAAAAGUAAUUGUUUGUCCAUUUGUUUCGCGGAAAAUGCAUGAUUUCAAAAAUAUUUUACUUAUAAAAAUAUAUGAGCAAAAUUUGUUUUCAUAGUUUACACAAAUUCUCAGACUUCAAUUGUUUCCAACAAAAAUAAAUAUUUUUUAAUUGUUAAUUAUUUCAAAUUAUACAAACAAAUAUUUUUAGGAAAAUAUUUUUCAAAUCAUUAAUUUUUGCAAACAAACAGGACCUGAGGACACCUGUCAUUUUAAAUCUAAAGAGUUGCUCAGAAAUUCAACAAGUAUAUACUAUUGUAGAAAAUAUUUACUUAACCAGAUACAUAUAUACCAAAAAAGUAAAAAAGAAAAGAGAGUUGGAUCUUAGUAAGUUCUUAAAUUGCUAAGUCUUCAACUUAGACCUCGAGGCUUCCUAGACAUUAAGCAACUAGAGGGGAUUCCCUCCUCUUGAGAAAGAUAAAUAUACAAAGGAGAGCUUGGGGUUGGACACGUGGGUAUCAGUACGUUAAAAUAAAGAACACAGUCAUGUCAUCCUGCUAGGAGACUUGAUAGGCGGGGUAGCCUCAACUCAGAAGUUCAUACUUUGCCUGGUUACAUAUAUAAAAUAAAAAAGGGGGCUGAUACAUAUAUACAAUUAAAAAGAGAAUCUAUUCCAUACGUAUUUAGCCUCUUUGCUUUGCUCAUUUUCAGUGUAUGCCUGGUGGCUAAGCUGCAUGAUCAUAUCUUUUGUCAACUAUCGUCGACUUCUUUGAUGCUAUUUUGCAGGACAGUUUACACUAUAUGUACUCAGAAGCCACCUCAUGACUAGUCCCAGCAACUGUAUGACAAGUAUAGAGAAACCUUUGAAGAGUACAUCAAUUCAGUGGUAAGAAAUUAGUAAUUGCGUUGUUUGUGCUCUUUUUGUUUAGUUAUAUGAUGGGCAUAUGAAUAUUUGAAAGGAGAUAAUAUCAAAUAAAUCCUAAACCCAUUACAAUUGUGUCAAUUCAGUCAUAAAUUUAUUUUUAUGGCCAAUUAAGUGAUAAAUCUCUUACAAUAGUGCCAAUUUAGUUCUUUUGGCCAAAAUUAGCUGGCCAGCACUAAUGUGGCAUGUGGCCGACGCUGGUGAUAAUAUUUUAUAAUAUUUUAUUUUUUGAUUUUUGUAUCUUUUUUUUUCCUCCUCCCUCAUUCUUCCUUUGGCUCCGGCAACCAGCCAAAGGGCUGGUCAAUCACUGAACUGAGGUGAUUGGGCAAGCUCGCCUCGCCACUCCUGGGCGAGGCAAGCUUGUUAGGCUACUAAUAGGGCUAGCCUUCAUUGGAUCUGGCGAGGGCUUGCCUUGCCAAAUCCGGAGAGGGGGCCUUGUCAUUGCUGGGUUUGACGGGGGCUCGCCUCACCAAAUCUAGCAAGGGCUCGCCAUUUUUUUGAUAAUUUUUCCAGAAAUAUGGCGACAGUUCAAAAUUCCUAUGGGAAUUGAAGUUCUAUCUGUUUAUUGUAUAGCCUGCGGGCACGAAGACCUGCCAUUAAUGAGUGUCAGAAUUCCCGGCUGAUGUUCCUCGAUAUUAAUGCUAGUAUUAGGGUGCCAGUGGGCAUUAAACGAUUGAUUAUGGUUUUUUUUUUUAGGGCAUCAGUUAAUGAUGGCAAUUCAUCUUUUGAGUGAAAAAACUGGAACUCGUUCUUGUAGUUGAAGUGGGAAAUAUGCCAAGAUGAGAUCAUCAAUUGGACGUGAUCUGAGGAAACUGCGACACCUUACAUAGUGAAGUGAUCAAAUUUGAAUGCUGCCUCCUUGUGGGACAUGAGAAAUAACCAAGACUUGUUGGUAUAUAGGACAUCUGCGAACAAGUGUUUGGUAAUGCGCCAAAUAGUUCCUUGCUGUGAAUUUGACAUAAUUAGUGCGAUUGAUUCAUUGAUUCAAUUUUUUUUUAUGGAAAAAAAGAAAUGUAUGAGUGUACUUAUGAAGCCCGUAUUGACCUCUGAAAUGCUAUAUGAAAGCUUUCUUUUAAUCAUUGCAUAGCAAGUAUUUUUCAGUACUUAAUCACAUUGAUGCUUGAAAGUGGGAUUGUAGUAUUCAUGACAUGGAUCUCCUUCUCCAAUGAUAUAAGGCUUAGAAAUUCCAUUAUUAACCCUUUCCUUUUUGUAAUACAUACUUUUCACCGUGGACAACAUGUCCUUUGGGUUCUUGAGUAUUCUAUUCCCAUUAAUUUCAAGGCCUCUCUCUGAUUCAGGAGUUGUCUUUAUUAAGGGAUAAGCAUGAUGAGUUUCUGCUGAGAGAAUUUGUGUUCAGGUGGGCAAACCAUAAUGUGAUGGUCAAUUGGCUACCUUGUUUCUUCUAUUAUGUGGAUCAGUACUUCGUUGCUCAAAGUUCAUUGCUGCCCCUUAAUGAGGUUGGCCUGACUUGCUUUCGUGAUCUGGUACAUCACCAGUGACCUUCCAUGUGUGAUGUCAGCUGUACUGAUCAUUUGCAGUAAAGUUUAUGGUUCAAAUAUGGCUGAAUAAUGCUGACUGCAGUUUAAUGAUGUUGACUUUUUCCAUAUGUUGUUGACAAUUAUGUCAAUGCACUUGAUUGAUGAUGUUUUCAGGUAUAUAGGGAGUUAUAUGCAGAAGUGAGGGAUGCUAUCAUCUCCCUGGUAUGAUUUUAUCCAUCGCCUCUGAUUCUUGACAGGUUUUUUAAUUCUUAGAAUCUUGUUAAUUCUUUUACUGGCUUGAAUUUUGAUUAGAUUGAUCAGGAAUGUGAGGGAGAGCAAAUUGACUGAGCUUUAGUGAAGAAUGUUUUGGAUAUAUUUGUUGGAACUGGAACGGGGCAAAUGGAUUUUUAUGAAAGUGAUUUAAAGCAUCACUGCUCGAAGAUACUGCUGCUUAAGUAUUCUAGGAAGGCUCCAAAGUGGAUGCUGAAAGACUCUUGUCCAGAUUACAUGCUGAAGGCAAUGCCAAUUUUAUAUCAUUAGCCUGAAAUGUUGUGGUGAAUUGUUUUUGAAUUUAUUAAUCCAUGUUAUUGGCGGUCACAGGCUGAAGAAACGUGAGAGAGACAUAUAAUAUAUAAACACAUAUAAUAUUGAAUAUUAUAUAUGAAAUUUAUUGCAAUUGGAAUUGUAAUUGAGGUAACAACCUCUUAUGUGGCCAAGAGACCAACAAAGCACUUGUUGUUACUCUUUAUUUAUAGAGAAAAUUUACUUGUUAGUUUCAUCUUCUACUCAAUGUGGGUCAAGGCUCUAGGAGUUCCUCAUGCUCACACUCUCUCUCUUGCUCCCCUCACUUGCAAACAACAAGGCACUUCAAGCCUCAAAGAGUCUCAUAUCGACUAAACAUUCAAAGCAUAGAAGAGAAAUUGUCUAUAAAACCUAAGCCAAGCACAACCUUUAAUCACAUUGUUCAUGGCUUUUAUGCUUAAAAUUAAGUGUGAAACACAUAAACUGUGAUUGAUAUUCACGUAAGUGAAGUUUGAAUAUUUUGCACGUGAAAACAUGUGUGAAUAAUUUUACUAGAUUGCCCGAGAACCGAAUUGGAUUGAUCAGUCCGGAGCAUGAUUGUUCUUUAGUGAAUGGUCGUUCUUUAGUGAAAAAAGAAAGUGCCGAUUCUAUUGGACCAGACCAGAUCAGACCAGAACCAAUGGUCCAGUACGAUUCCUGGUCCUAGGACCAAACAAUCCGAUCCACAGUUCCCAAAAUUGGGAACCGAUUCUCCCGGUCCGGUUCUCGGUUCCACCUUGGAACAGGACCGAACUGGGAACCGAUUACCCCUAUUGGGAAUCCCAACGAUCGCAAGAGGUCCUUCUCGGCACGGCCCUUUAGCUACAGAAACCUAUUGGCCAUGACACUUAACUACUGAUAUGAGUGUAGAGUUUCAGUCUCUCUAAUGAUUCCAUUUUAUUGUAGUACUGCUCUUUUUUGUUGUUCAACACGUUAAAAAUAGUGGAUUAUGAUUAUGCUCUAUGAUCUGACCAACUCUUUCCAUCAAUUUCUACACAAUCACCUACUGAAAGUGAAAAUGCUUGAUAAUUACGUGACCGCGGAAAAACACAAUACCGCAUUACAAAGGAGAGAAAAGAAGGAUUUGACCGACCAUCAAGCAAACCUUUGAUGGCAUUGCAUUUAUAAUUCAUAUUGUCACUCGAAAUCUAAAAAGGAGGUAGAUCAAAUUGAGGAGAUUUUGAAGAGAGAAUAAUUAAUGGAUUUUUUACACGACUGCGUCUGCCAGCUGUCAACUAAGAACUUAUGCACGACAGCUGGCUUUUGCUAACUAGUGACUCUAAUGAUUUUAUUUUUAUCCACAUGAUAUAAUGAUCAUGUUGAAAGUAGAUUUCCCAUCACACGAGAGGACUAGUAGCUAUGCCCACCAUGCAUACAAGGGCGAUGCUUGUGGCUAACUAAAACAAAAUUAAGUUUGUGUAAAUUCCUUACCCCUUAUGAGGAAGCAAUAGUUGUUGAUCAGAUAAUCAAAUUUAAGUAUGUUAGAGUUGACUUUGCAUUGGACUCAAAGUCCCGAGUGCACAUCCAUAUAUAUAUAUAUAUAUAUAUAUAUAUAUAUAUAUAUAUUCACACACACGUCUAAUCACCCAAGCCAAAAAGAUUACGACUUCGACAAGCCUACUCUCGUUGUUAUUUGGGCUAGGGGCGAAGCUUCCUAAAACAACAUGAAUUUGAUGAAAGAAAUCUAAUUUCAACACGACUCAACUCGAUAUCAAUACCUUCUCAGUCCAUUUUCAGUGAAAACUACUUUGUAAACACGUAUUUUUGGUACCAUACUUAAUGACACGAAUCUAACACUGCAAGACAUGUAUCAUCGGCCCGAUUGAGGCUUUUAUGCAGCAGUCUCGGGCCGACCUGGCCAGGCCCGUCGGCACCGCUUGAUCGCCAUUUCCACUGCAUCACCAUCUUCAGACGAACUCUUCCAGUUCAGAGUCUUCUUAGUCUUCCUUCUCCAGAAUUCCAGUUCUUGCUGCUGCUUAACCAGGUACGCUCUUUAUCCUCCUCUCUGCUUCCUUCUUGUUCAUCGAUAUGUGGCUAUGGAAAUAUGCUAGCUUGAGCAUUGAUUCCGAUACCAUGACGUUGAUCCGCGGCCGUAGGCUUAGUUGAAAUUGCACGUCACAGCCAGCUUUAUCAAAGCUGUGCAACGAUACCGUUUCAAACCCCCAAAGUUUACACCUUUUUGUAAAACUAAAGGAGAUGCCCAUGCUUGUUGAUCAUUAUUGUGGGGAGAUUAUAUGCCCUUGUUUUAAUAUCUGGAUCGGUUUGAGUUUUUCAUGAUGGAUUUUUUCUUUUUCUUUUUUUGGUACAUGUUGAAGCUGAAUGAUGCGGCUUUUGACCUUUCAAAUGGGCCGGUUGCUGAUGAGGUUUGUUGUUAAGCUCCAAUUCCUACCUUUUGUGAUUCAUUUGUUUCAGUUGUACGGUUUCACUUAUUGAGUGGAGUUCAGAUUUUCUCAAUUGUCCUUGGGAACUUGAAGAAGCUCGAAGGGAGAUGGAUUAUAUCUGACAUCUGUAUGCCGAUUGCUUUAAUACAAAAGUUAACAAGUUUUAUGUUUUUUAUUUCCCUUUUCCCAAUGGCCAGUGUGGCGAAGAACUUGGAGAUAUACUGUUAAAUUGGUUGAAAUCGUGGGAACAAGCAGAUACAUUGACAUCUAGGACUUUGGCGAGCAAACUGCUUCUGCUAGAGAGAGCUCUUUGGCCGAUAAUGCUAAAUCAGGCAUGAAGAAAACACUGGCUUCUUCAUGCUUAAUACAUGCUUGAGGGUCUGUCAUGAGCCUCAUGAUCAUGCAUUUGGUGAUUUAGCAUUGGGGAGGCGCUUAUCAUCUGCUGGAAGGAGGUUCCAGUCCAUGGGACCAUAUGGUCAAGGCAAACUUGCUAAGGUAUCUUGCAGAACUGGUGAACUCUCAGCAUAGUAAAAGUUGGUAUACUAUUGCUAUGUGAGCUUAAAUGUAAACAACAGGAAUGGUGGGUUAAAAAGAGCAAUUUUACUCUGCCAAAGAAGCAGAAAACGCACACUUGAAAUUCAGACUGCCCUACCCUAUGUUAAUCUGUAAAUUUGUUGCGUGUCGGUGUUAAACACAUAUAAAACUAAAUUAGUUAGGAACGAGAAUUUCCUAUACUUCUGAAUGAGUAUUUGAACCCAGUCAUUGCAUGAACUCCUUUUUCCUUGUUUUCUCAAACUACAUUUUUUUUCUUUUUUAUCAUUGACUUCUUAUGAAAGAACUGGAAGCACUCAAGAAAAAACCUUGACUGAUCAUGCAUAAGGACCCCUAGUGAUGUGAGCCUCGAUGUUUGGAGACAUCUUUUCCACUUUGAAUGUGGCAUAACUACUGGAUUUAUAUGAGGUGUGUAAACUGUUUCAAAUUGUUGUUAGAUUGCAAAGAUAAUGAUUGCAACGGGAAAGCGUUUGGCUGCAACCCAAGUAUCUGCCGCAAUGGUUGAAGAACCUAAGAAGGAAGCCCGAACUUUUAAGGUUGGUUCUAGCUCUCUCCUGGUUGAGGUCUCAAGGACAAGCUUAUUAACAUAAUGUGAUCUGUCACUGGUUCUUCACGCUUUUGAAAGUGCAGUUUGGAGAACUUUAAGUAGAAGUUACAUCAGAUAAAGCCAACAUUGGGGCUGCUAUCGGUUUUUCAAUUAAGUAACCGAUGCUUUUUGUCACGAUUGAUUUUUUUGCCUAGUUAUAUUCGAUUGAAGAGUACUAAAUUGAAAGCUACCGUUUAAAAUGCAGAAUUCUUUCAUGGCAACUAGCUCAAGGCGUUCAAAGCAUCCCCGAGAGCUCUUUGCAGUAUGCAAAUGAUAAUGCUUUGCUGCUGGCCAAGGUUUCUGAGAACACCAUCUUCAACCUUGUGUGGAUGUCCUUUUGUACUACAUUUACUGAAUGCUGAUACAUGGAAUCCUUUGAAUGCAGUCUCUAAGGGGUGCUCUACUUGCGACGGGCUAUUCAUCAGCUAUCUUGUCCACAAUCGCAUCCUUUGGCGUUCUUAUGCUUGCAAGACAGCUUAAAUCUGAGAACAAGUGACGUUGUCCUAGUUUUGUCCACGUUUUGCUUGUAGAUGACCAUUGACUUGAGGAAGAGCUGAACAUGACUGAAAAUGUAUUACUAUCGUCGGUAUGAAUCCAUGGGUUAUGGACACGUACUGAUAGAAUAUAUCAUUAUGUACAUUAACUUUUUGGGCAUGAAGAAUGCUUUUUGGCAUGAUCCUUGUUGCCCCAUAAUUGGGGAAGCUGAUUUGAUUUAUUGCAUCUUGAAGCAGACGUUGCCCUGUUCUCCUACCUCUUCCCUUCUACUGUUCCACUUUGAUUAUAAACUUCCAAGAUUGGUAACGGAAGAAAAAGCACCAGCAAAGUAUGUGUCAUUUCAUAUAUGCUUUCAGCUUUAAAGAAAAUGCAAUGAGAGAGGGCAUUAAGUUACAAAGUAGUCAAUUUAAGAGGUGCUGAUGUUACACUGAGAAUGAACAGGGAGGGAGAGAUGGUGUGGCCACCAAGUGUGAUAUUCUUGACCUUUACCUCUUGAUAGUUUAACAGUGAUGUAUAAUAACCUGGCUGAAACUAUGCAAGUGAAAGUCUCGAAGUAGUACCAAAUGUUAACCACCGACGAAGGGUUCCAAAUUACAUAUCACCUCGGAUUUUUUAACCAGUCAAUGCGGGGCUUGAUUCGUAUCAAUUCACCACCAAUCAUUUACUCCUUUUGCUUUUGGGUUGGGCCAUAACAAUGGUAGAUCUCUAUUUUACUUUGGUACCUUACUGCUUAAAAGUCCAAAACAACUUGAGCACUGAAAGUUAGGACGCAUGACCGUAAUUGCUAUUUGAUGUAAUAUCCUUGGACAGAAGCUUAGCUCUUGGGGAGUGUGAUUUUUACCUUUUACAUUGAAUUCAAAAUUGUUUAUUUAACUUGAUUGUUGAUGACUUUUAUCACAUUUCUGUGAUUAGUUUAGUGCUAUUGCUUUUUACAUUUGAGACAUUUGAGUACCUUAGCAGUACGUUUUCCAGUUGAAGGAUCCAGCGGUAGGUCUGCUGAACCAUUGUAUUCAAAUCUUUUCAUAUAUCAACUAAGUUGAUGAGGAAGGUAUUAGCCAUUCUCUUAUUGUGGAUAUUCUUGCCAAUGCCAUUGUGAGGGGACAAUUUGAUAGGUGGUUUCAACUCGUGUCUCUUCUGUAAGUAUUUGUGGUCAGAAUGCCGGAAGCAAUUUGUAAGUAUCGCAUCUAUCUGUAUAAGCAUCAUUAGGCCAGGCUUGCUAUUCUCCGUGUUAUAUCAGUCACAUACUAAUGUUCUGGAUACAUGGGAUAUAAUCUUCAAUGCCGGCUAAUAGUACAUUGUAGAAUCCAUUAAAUUGUCACUCUUUUCUACUUGCCGAUAUAAGACAUAGACGUACUUGUUUUCUGGUUGACCUCAUGGAGAUUACGUCAAAUACUCUGCCCGGCAUCCAAGAUCAGAAUCUGAUGAGGAGUACCUCCUGUUUCAGUGUGGCUAAUUGUUUGGGUAAUCGAGUUUACGGUUUUCUCUCUUUUCUUGCUGUCGUUGGAUAGGAGAUUUCAUUUAAUGGAUUCUCAUCAUGAUCAAUCCUCCAAUUGAAUAAAAUUUACGAGUAGGGAUGUUGCCGCCAUCUGAUAGGGCAGGUGUUUGGUGUGUUCUUUGUUCAAAAUCGCGGUUGUUCUAGCCCUCUUGCAUAAUUUUUAUUAUAGGGUAUUUAUAUUAUAGGGCUGUUGAAUUCAUUUUGCAAUGUUGUCACGCGCGACAGACUACUCGAAAGCUGAAUUGAGCUACCAUUACACACACACACACAUAUAUAUAUAAAAUAACCAAUACUGCAAUAAAACAUUGAAAAUAAAAGAUCGCCAAGAACAUUGAAACUACUGAUAUAUAUAUAUGAACCUAAGGAUGUUUUAUCAGGGACAUUGGCGGUGCCGAGGUAGAAAUUUUCAUCCUGGACAUGGGCAGUGCCAAGGCGGACCCACUCGGCACACUCGAUGCCGAGGCGGAUGAGGUGGACGACGUGGACUCACUUGAUGUCGAGGCCGCCAUGGGCGGUGCGGGUGCCGAGACGUAAGCUGGCGAUGUCGUGCCGGACAUCCGCUCGGCGGUUUGAAGAGCAAAGGCGGACAUUGGCGUUGGCGGUGGGGAAGUCAGCGUGGACAUUAGAAAAGCAAAGGCCGGUGUCGGUUUCGAUUCCGGUGGUGGUGUCCGAUUCUUGCUGAGAUCAAAGGGGCUCCAAAUUUGUGUUCCUACGCAAAAGCUUCCUUCUGGUGCUGGCAUCAGAAGGAACGUCUGAAGGCAAAGAAUCAGAGCAAAAGCGUCAGACAAAAGCACGAGAUGGACUACUACAAGGGUAAGGGUGCAAAAACUCAAUAUAUAUGGGAAGGAGGAUUGAUCAAUCGAUUGAUCGAUUGAUCGAUAGAGAAAUUGCAGAGAGUUGACAAAGCAUCACCCACCCCACCCCACCAAGAAAAUUCUUCGGUUCCGUUACGCUAGCUACGGAGAGACAGAUACUCUCUGCUAACAAUGGAUGGGAUGGAUGGACGAAGGGAUCACCCAAGAUGUUAAAUCAACAUCAAAUAUGCCCAACAUCUCAUCAAAACCACCAUCCUUGUUCUUCGACACUCCAAAAAAGGAAUUUAAAAUUAUAAAAAUAUAAAUGGAUCCUUCAUCAGAGAGAGAGAGAGAGAGAGAGGCCUGAUCUGAAAUAAGGGCGUCCGCCAUGACAUUCUGGCCCCCUACCCACGUCUCGCCGUAGACGGAGAUGAGCACGCUGCCGGUCCGGUAGGGCAUGCACUUGAACUCGGCGAUUUCGUGGUGGCACUGCGGAAGGGAGGUGAGUUUGGCGAGGAUGGCCUCCUUGCCCUUGAUCUCCCGGCCGUCGAAGUGCAGCACCGACUCUUCCCGGUACAGGUUCACCAAGCCCGCCCGAUUCGUGUCGAACGUCCUGUAGUAGUUCACCAUGAACCGCUUCGCUUCUUCUGCCCGACCCAUGUCUUCUGGCUUGAUCCUCCACAUCUCUUUCCUCCUCCUUCUGUGCGCGAUUCAGAGAGAAAUCCCUAGCGCCGUUUCUUUUUCAAGAGUUCCCUUCCCCUUUUUUAUUUUGGAAUACACCGACCCGGUUUCUUGUCGGGUCGGUCGGGUUUUUCACGUCCGGUACUUUGAUGGCACGUGAAAUCCGAAAAAGGGAGUAAGAUCAAAUUGAGGAGAUUUUGAAGGGGGAUUAAUUAAUGUACUUAUUCGAAUUAGGAGAUUUUGAAGACAAAAUAAUUAAUGGACAUAAUCGACUUAGGAAAAACUACUUAAAAAGAGUACGCGUUUGUGUCCACCAGCUCUCAACCAAGAACUUAUGCACAAAAGCCAACUUUCACUAGCUAGUGAUUCCAAUUUUGAUGGCACGCGAAAUCCCAAAAAGCAAGUAAGAUCAAAUUGAGGAGAUUUUGAAGAGAGAGUAAUUGAUGAACUUACUUGAAUUAGGAGAUUUUGAAGACAGAAUAAUUAAUGGACAUAAUUGACUUAGGAAAAACUACUUAAAAAGAGCACGCGUUUGUGCCUACCAGCUCUCAACCAAGAGUUUAUGCACAAAAGCUGACUUUCACUAGCUAGUGAUUCCAAUUUUGAUGGCACGCGAAAUCCCAAAAAGGAAGUAAGAUCAAAUUGAGGAGAUUUUGAAGAGAGAGUAAUUAAUGAACUUACUUGAAUUAGGAAAUUUUGAAGACAGAAUAAUUAAUGGACAUAAUCGAAUUAGGAAAAAUUAGUAGGCGUUUCUUACGCAUUUGCGUCUGCCGGCUCUCAAUCAAGAACUUACGCACGAAAGCUGACUUUCACUAGCUAGCGAUUCCAAUGUUCUUUUACUGGCGGCUAUGCGGAUUCCAAAGUAGAUCAAAUUGAGGAGAUUUUGAAGUUGUUUCGAGUUUAUGUCCCUGCAAAAAGGGAAAUUACCAAGAGAGAGAGGUGUUGUUUAGUUUGCUCUUAGAGGUCACCCUAUUUUAUCAAGGAGAGGUGUUAUCGUUCUCUGGAUUGAUCUCGCUCUCACUUUCCCGUCGCUCUCUCGUCACUCUCGCCGCCAUGGAAUCUGCUAACCUGGCCGCCUUCUUCGGCGGUCAAUUUUAUUUUUCGUUUGACUCAAGUCGCCAGUAUGUGCCGCUCUAUUAUGGGCCUGCAUCAACCGCUGUUUACGAUCAUCACAUUGCCUCUGGCCCUGUACAAAUACAUGUUCUUUUCACUUCGGAAUAUCUUGCCGACGUCUGUCAUCUCAUCACUCGUAUGUCAUCGUCGGUCGAUUCAAUUACAGGUCGACGUUGUUUCACCUUCGCCGGUGUCAUCCGCAUCGGCCUUGAGUUCAGAGACUUUGAGGAGGUUCAUCGGUUUCUCUCUUCUUUUUCUUUCUUUGUUGGGUUAAUUUGAUACUAAUUCUUCCCUUUUAGAUGUUUAUUGUGGAAGGGCUGCUAAUCCCUCCUCGAAAUGGACGGAUUAUCUACAGCAACUUCCGUUCAAUCCCGCGGCAAGAGCCGUUACCAUAUCCGAUGCCACUGCCACCAGUGCAAGAGCUGGCCCAAUUAUACCCAAACGCCCCCAGUAUACCCAUUGCCAAUGGGAUUCCUACAGCCAUUCCCUAACCAGGCACAGCCGUUCCCUCACGAGGGCGCACAACCGGGGCCAUUCCCUCAACAGCAGCCUGUGCAACCGGCAGAGAACCCAUUCCCACAUGCGGCUGACCCGCCCGUGGACGAGCAACUUCUAGCAUUCCUCAUGCAACAGGAUCCAUUCCCUCAGGAGGACCCACAGAACCUGCCAUUCCCACAAGCCGGCGAUCCGGCAGCGGAUGAGCAAAUACAGGGAAUGGAGGCAGUCGAGAGUCAAGGCAGCAACGCAUGAGGGAAUAUAUUUUAGACUACUUUUGCAUUCCAUAUCGUUUCAGUCUGUAUACAUUCUCUUAUGUCAGCUGCUGAUAUGAGUGUAGUGUUUCAGUCUGUAUAGCUUCAGUUUCUCUGAUGAUUCCGUUUUAUUGCACUACUGUUUAAAAUAGUGAUUAUGAUUAUGCUCUAUGAUCUGACCAACUCUUUCCAUCAAUUUCUACACAAUCAUCUACUGAAAGAGAAAAUGCUUGAUAAUUAUGUGACCGCCGAGAAACACUGUCACCGCAUUACAAGGAAAAGAAAAGAAGGAUUUGACCGACGGUCAAGCAAACCUUUGAUGGCACUGUAUUUAUGAUUCAUAAAGCAGAUCAAAUUGAGGAGAUUUUGAGGAGAGAAUAAUUAAUGAACUUACUCGAAUUAGGAAAAAUUACUUUAAAAGAGUACAUGUUUACGCGUUUGCGUCUGCUAGCUCUCAACCAAGAACUUAUGCACGAAAUCUGACUUUUGCUAACUAGUGACCCCAAUGUUUUUUUUUUUUUUUUUUUGGAUCUACACAAUAUAAUAAUCAUGUUGAAAGUAGAUUUCCCAUCACACGAGAGGAGCAGUAACUAUGCCCACUAUUCAUAAACCACGAUGGCAAUGCUUUUGGUUAAGUGAAGCAAAAUUAAGUUUGUGCAAAUUCCUUACUUCUCAGGAGGAAGCAAUUGUUGUUGAUCAGAGAAUCAACUUCAAGUAUGUCAGAGUUGACUUUGCAUUGGACUCAAAGUCCCGAGCGCACAUCCGACACUUUUAGGUUCCCCAGUCUCCAUAUAUAUUUAUUCACACACACGUCUAAUCACCCAAGCCAAAAAGAUUACGACUUGAGCACGCCUACUCUCGUUGUUAUUUGGGCUAGGGGUGAAGCUUCCUAAAACAACAUGAAUUUGAUGAAAGAAAUCUAAAUUCAACUCGAUAUCAAUACCUUUUCAGUCCAUUUUCAGUGAAAACUACUUUGUAAACACAUAGUUUUUGUACCAUACGUAAUGACGCGAAUGUAACACUGCAAGACAUGUAUCAUCGGCCCGAUUGAGGCUUUUAUGCAGCAGUCUCGGGCCGACCUGGCCAGGCCCGUCGGCACCGCUUGAUCGCCAUUUCCACUGCAUCACCAUCUUCAUACGAACUCUUCCAGUUCAGAGUCUUCCUAGUCUUCCUUCUCCAGAAUUCCAGUUCUUGCUUCUGCUUAACCAGGUACGCUCUUUAUCCUCCUCUCUGCUUCCUUCUUGUUCAUCGAUAUGUGGCUAUGGAAAUAUGCUAGCUUGAGCAUUGAUUCCGAUACCAUGACGUUGAUCCGCGGCCGUAGGCUUAGUUGAAAUUGCACGUCACAGCCAGCUUUAUCAAAGCUGUGCAACGAUACCGUUUCAAACCCCCAAAGUUUACACCUUUUUGUAAAACUAAAGGAGAUGCCCAUGCUUGUUGAUCAUUAUUGUGGGGAGAUUAUAUGCCCUUGUUUUAAUAUCUGGAUCGGUUUGAGUUUUUCAUGAUGGAUUUUUUCUUUUUCUUUUUUUGGUACAUGUUGAAGCUGAAUGAUGCGGCUUUUGACCUUUCAAAUGGGCCGGUUGCUGAUGAGGUUUGUUGUUAAGCUCCAAUUCCUACCUUUUGUGAUUCAUUUGUUUCAGUUGUACGGUUUCACUUAUUGAGUGGAGUUCAGAUUUUCUCAAUUGUCCUUGGGAACUUGAAGAAGCUCGAAGGGAGAUGGAUUAUAUCUGACAUCUGUAUGCCGAUUGCUUUAAUACAAAAGUUAACAAGUUUUAUGUUUUUUAUUUCCCUUUUCCCAAUGGCCAGUGUGGCGAAGAACUUGGAGAUAUACUGUUAAAUUGGUUGAAAUCGUGGGAACAAGCAGAUACAUUGACAUCUAGGACUUUGGCGAGCAAACUGCUUCUGCUAGAGAGAGCUCUUUGGCCGAUAAUGCUAAAUCAGGCAUGAAGAAAACACUGGCUUCUUCAUGCUUAAUACAUGCUUGAGGGUCUGUCAUGAGCCUCAUGAUCAUGCAUUUGGUGAUUUAGCAUUGGGGAGGCGCUUAUCAUCUGCUGGAAGGAGGUUCCAGUCCAUGGGACCAUAUGGUCAAGGCAACCUUGCUAAGGUAUCUUGCAGAACUGGUGAACUCUCAGCAUAGUAAAAGUUGGUAUACUAUUGCUAUGUGAGCUUAAAUGUAAACAACAGGAAUGGUGGGUUAAAAAGAGCAAUUUUACUCUGCCAAAGAAGCAGAAAACGCACACUUGAAAUUCAGACUGCCCUACCCUAUUUUAAUCUGUAAAUUUGUUGCGUGUCGGUGUUAAACACAUAUAAAACUAAAUUAGUCAGGAACGAGAAUUUCCUAUACUUCCGAAUGAGUAUUUGAACCCAGUCAUUGCAUGAACUCCUUUUUCCUUGUUUUCUCAAACUACAUUUUUUUUUCUUUUUUAUCAUUGACUUCUUAUGAAAGAACUGGAAGCACUCAAGAAAAAACCUUGACUGAUCAUGCAUAAGGACCCCUAGUGAUGUGAGCCUCGAUGUUUGGAGACAUCUUUUCCACUUUGAAUGUGGCAUAACUACUGGAUUUAUAUGAGGUGUGUAAACUGUUUCAAAUUGUUGUUAGAUUGCAAAGAUAAUGAUUGCAACGGGAAAGCGUUUGGCUGCAACCCAAGUAUCUGCCGCAAUGGUUGAAGAACCUAAGAAGGAAGCCCGAACUUUUAAGGUUGGUUCUAGCUCUCUCCUGGUUGAGGUCUCAAGGACAAGCUUAUUAACAUAAUGUGAUCUGUCACUGGUUCUUCACGCUUUUGAAAGUGCAGUUUGGAGAACUUUAAGUAGAAGUUACAUCAGAUAAAGCCAACAUUGGGGCUGCUAUCGGUUUUUCAAUUAAGUAACUGAUGCUUUUUGUCACGAUUGAUUUUUUUGCCUAGUUAUAUUAGAUUGAAGAGUAUUAAAUUGAAACCUACCGUUUAAAAUGCAGAAUUCUUUCAUGGCAACUAGCUCAAGGCGUUCAAAGCAUCCCCGAGAGCUCUUUGCAGUAUGCAAAUGAUAAUGCUUUGCUGCUGGCCAAGGUUUCUGAGAACACCAUCUUCAACCUUGUGUGGAUGUCCUUUUGUACUACAUUUACUGAACGCUGAUACAUGGAAUCCUUCGAAUGCAGUCUCUAAGGGGUGCUCUACUUGCGACGGGCUAUUCAUCAGCUAUCUUGUCCACAAUCGCAUCCUUUGGCGUUCGUGUGCUUGCAAGACAGCUUAAAUCUGAGAACAAGUGACGUUGUCCUAGUUUUUUCUACGUUUUGCUUGAAGAUGACCAUUGACUUGAGGAAGAGCUGAACAUGACUGAAAAUGUAUUACUAUCGUCGGUAUGAAUCCAUGGGUUAUGGAUACGUACUGAUAGAAUAUAUCAUUAUGUACAUAAACUUUUCGGGCAUGAAGAAUGCUUCUUGGCAUGUUCCCUGUUGCCCCAUAAUUGGGGAAGCUGAUUUGAUUUAUUGCAUCUUGAAGCAGAUGUUGCCCUGUUCUCCUACCUCUUCCCUUCUAAUGUUCCACUUUGAUUAUAUAAACUUCCAAAAUUGGUAAUGGAAGAAAAAGCACCGGCAAAGUAUGUGUCAUUUCAUAUUUGCUUUCAGCUUUAAAGAAAAUGCAAUGAGAGAGGGCAUUAAGUUACAAGGUCCUCAAUUUAAGAGGUGCUGAUGUUACACUGAGAAUGAACAGGGAGGGAGAGAUGGUUUGGCCACCAAGUGUGAUAGUUUAAUAGUGAUGCAUAAUAACCUGGCUGAAACUAUGCAAGUGAAAGUCUCAAAGAAGUACCAAAUGUUAACCACCGACGAAGGGUUCCAAAUUACAGAUCACCUCGGAUAUUUUUACCAGUCAAUGUGGGGCUUGAUUCGUAUCAACUAACCACCAAUCAUUUACUCCUUUUGCUUUUGGGCUGGGCCAUGACAAUGGUAGAUCUCUAUUUUACUUUGGUACCUUACUGCUUGAAAGUCCAAAACAACUUGAGCACUGAAAGUUAGGAAGCAUUACUGUAAUUGCUAUUUGAUGUAAUAUCCUUGGACAAGAACUUUGCUUUUGGGGAGUGUGAUUUUUGCCUUUUACAAUGAAUUCAAAAUUGUUGAUUUAAUUUGAUUGUCGACGACUUUUAUCACAUUUUCUGUGAUUAGUUUAGUGCUAUUGCUUUAUACAUUUGAGACAUUUGAGUACCUUAGCAGUACGUUUUGCAGUUGAAGGAUCCAGCCGUAGGUCAGCUAAACCAUUGUAUUCAAAUCUUAUCAUAUAUCAACUAAGUCGAUGACGAAGGUAUUAGCCAUUCUCUUAUUGUGGAUAUUCUUGCCAAUGCCAUUGUGAUGGGACAAUUUGAUAGGUGAUUUCAACUCAUGUCUUUUCUGUGAGUAUUUCUGGAUAGAAUGUCGGAAGCAAUUUGUAAGUAUGGCAUCUAUCUGUAUCAACAUUUUUAGGCCAGGCUUACUAUUCUCCGUGUCAUAUCAGUCACAUACUAAUGUUCUGGAUACAUGGCAUAUAAUCUUCAAUGCCGGCUAUUAGCACGUUGUAGAAUCCAUUAAAUUGUCACUAUUUUCUACUUGCCGAUAUAGGACAUAGACGUACUUGUUUUCUAAUUGACAUUAUGGAGAUUACGUCAAAAACUCUGCCCGGCAUCCAAGAUCAGAAUCUGAUGAGGAGUACCUCCUGUUUCAGUGUGGCUAAUUAAUUGGGUAAUCGAGUUUACGGUUUUCUCUCUCCUUUGUUGCUGUCUCUGGACAGGAGAUUUCAUUUAAUGGAUUCUCAUCAUGAUUAAUCCUCCAAUUGAAUAAAGUUUACGAGUAGGGAUGUGGUCGCCAUCUGAUAGGGCACGUGCUUGGUGUAUUCUUUGUUCAAAAUCGUGGUUGUUCUAGCCCUCUUGCAUAAUUUUUAAUGGAGCAAGAACUAGACCCUUGAAAUAAAUUUGGCAUUAGCGAAUGUAGCUUCCUUGAGAAUUCACCCUCUUGUUUUUUAUUUUUUAUUUUUUCUGACCUUAGUGCUAUCGUACUAAUUAAAUGGUCUUCGCUUAACCGAUGAAGUUGGCUUGGAAAAAUUAGAGUUGACAAAUGCAUUAUCUGCGACCCACGUCCAAUUUCCUUUUCUUUCUUUGUUUUUGGCUGAUGCAUGCGAUGAUGAGCUCAUCAAUAUUAAUCUGGGAACAUUCUUUGAGACAAAGUUUUCUGUGGUUUUUGCAGGUUCUUUGUACUUGUAUUUUGCUUGUCUGUUUCCAUUCAAGGAGUGAUUGUGUCUCUGCUCCGCUGCAUGUUUCUUUGACAUAGACGCCGGGAAUAUCUGGCUUGAGCUGUACAUACAUAUUAUAAUGCUGGGUUUCUCUACCGUCGUGACUUAUGAGAAUGGAAUAUAUAUGGUUGCAAGAUUCCACCAAUGCUAUGAACUGGUCAAAGGACUUGGAGUUUUUUAAGUUCAUUGUACUGUCACAGGCGAUUUAGUUGGUCAUCCAACUCGAGGUUUUGUGGUUCAGGUUUUGGUGCAAGCUUGCUGUUCUACAAUGCCUGCCGGUCGAAUUUUUCUGCUGACAGCUGCAUCUUCAAGAUUCAUGAGUGAUCCGAGAUUCCAAGUCUCGCAAGCAAGCUAUUGUUGGAACUGGACUGACCGUCUUUAAAAAAUGCCAUGAGCAAGAAAUUGCUUUUCCUUCUUGUUUCCAUCUGUCAAUCUUGGCAAGUGGGAAAUAAAGAACGCUCCCAUCAGCCAUCAUAUGUAUUGAUACCAUGUGCUGCUCUAGUCCUAGAGCUUCAGAAGAUGGUAAUUCUUCAUCCAUGUGCGUUUAGUCAACUUUUGACUGUUUAGGUCAGUCUGUUACCUCGUGAUCUUGUUGUCAUCACGUUUACCCAUUUUUAUCUCUUCCAGUAGACAGAUUAUACGAGAAAAGAAAGAACCAAGCUAAAAAGAAAGGGUAUGCCCUGUCGAAUAGACUCUUUCCCUUUCUGUUGAUACAUCAUCUGUCCUUUGAGAGCUGCCCCAAAACACUAGCUUUUCGCAGCAUCGCGAUAUUGUCUACCACGUCAAAAAUUAAUAACGAAAGGGAUCUGCUUUAGUCGUCAUCUUUUUCUUCUUUUCUUUAAUGACUCGGAUUAGAUAUGCACCAUUUUGACGUUGACUUUGAAAUAUAUAAGGUAGAACAAAUUGUAAGAACACGCCAGCCACGGAUUGGUCGCUACUCUCAUUUCUUUCUCCUCUCUCUCUUUUAUUUUCCCACUUGCAAAUUCUAACCGUAUCACCUCAAAUAACAGUGAAUUUUUUUAAUACAAUGCCGUGAUUCGAGAUUAGUAGCCGGCGACAUGGUUUGAACUCUAUUUCACUGAAACCAUAAAGCCAUCAAAUCGGUCAGCGAUUGUUUUGAUGUUAUUCAAGAGCAUAAAAGCUACAACUUGUGGUCGAAUGUGAUGGCUUUUCUCAUUAUUCUGGCUCUUGGCGGACGUACAUGCCUAUUUUCCAGCUACACAGCAUCAAUUUUGAUGGAUGGAUAUAGGUAAAAUAGGUGACAUAUACAUACACAUAUAUAAUAUAGGGCUAUUGAAUUCAUUCUUGCAAUGUUGUCACGUGCAACAGAUGACUCGGAAAUUGAAUUGAGCUACCGUUACUAUCGUUAAUCGUCAUCUCGUCUUGGCCUUUGUCCGUUUCCCGAGCACUACAAGGAAAAAUUAGAAACAGAGUUGGAUGGCAACGGGCUUUUCCUUCCCCUGAAGGCCUAGAGGACCGUCCCUGAUGAGCAUCGACAACAGCGAGAUCACUUUCAAGGACAGAUUUAGCAUGCUUGGAGGUUGUUAUCAGCAGUAGUGUAUAGUUGGAGAAAAUGACACAAAUAAUCUCUCGACUUUAAUCUAAUGUGUAAUGUGGUUUCUAAAUUCUAAAGUUGUUCAAUGUAAUCAUUGAAUUUUAGUUCAUCGUCUAUUAUCAUUCAUGAAUUUUUAAUUUAUUUGAUGUGAUUUAUGAACUUUUGAUAUAUAUUUAAUCUAAUCAUUCGACUAUAUGAAAAUAUUCAUUACUGUCCAUGAACCUGAAUUAAUAAAAAGAUGACAUUGAAUUUUUUCAUAUAGUUCAAGUAUUAGAUCGAACAUGUAUCAAAAGUUUAGGAAAUAUACUAAACAAAAUAAAAGUUUGGGGACAACAUGCACAUUAAGCUAGAUUUCAUGGGAUAUAUUGAAUAAAUUCAAACUUCAUUGACCACUUCAAAGUUCAAAAGCCAUUUGUAUAAUUAUCCCAAUUAGCUGUGAGAGAGACACAAUGAUCAAUUGCUAUAUUUAUGGUUCAUUCUAAAUCUUAAAGUGUAUUUGUUUUACCGAAAACUUAUAAUGAAUGAAUAUAUUUUCCCCUUGGGAACAUUUUCAAGGAAAAUGCUUAAUUUUUAUUUGUUUGGUGAUUUACGAAAAGUGGUUUCUUUCUUACUAUAAGGGAAAGUAAUUUUCCCCUGAUCUGAGCUUAUUAUUUUAAGUUUAUGGAAAACGUUAUGCACAAAUCGAUUAGCAUAAGGGUUUCACCAAAAUAUCAUUUUAAGUUACCCUUCAGAAAACCUUAAAAUAAAUGUGCAUGAUCCAAAAUAAUCUUGUCACCAAUUUGAAACUUAAAAAAAUCAAUUGUCAUCAAGUUCAAACCAUACAUAAAAGUCGCCGUCUAGAUAUUCCAAAUGGCAAAUUGGGAGCACUCAUUGCUCACUGACUACACCAAUGUUGGCACAGCUCUCAGAGGUUGACCUUUCUGUAAGGUGAGGCCAAACUUGUCGUCCAUGUUCAUCUCUUCAGGCUCCAUCCCAUCCCACCUUCAAGCUUCCAAUUGAAGCAAUUAAGGAGCGAACCUAACAUGAUAUGCAACAUCCGCGAGGCCAAUGGCAAGCCUGGACAUAUACGCCGACCUCCGCCAAAUGGAAUCGACUCAGAACUUCGUCCUUUCACGUCGAUUUCCAAUCCGAGAAACCUCUCUGGCAUAAAUGCAUUCGGGUCCUCCCACAACAUACCAUCUCUCCCAAUGGCCCAUAUAUUGACAAAGACUCGUGCGCCUUCUGGAAUGGCGACACCGUUAAUUUCUAAUUCCGUCCCAGAUUUCCGAGGGAGCAACGGAAUUUGUUGGGUGCAAGCGAAAAGUUUCCAUGACGAUGGCCUGUAAAAAGGGUAAGCUAGUGAUGUCUGACUCAUCGACGAGAUUGCCCUUGCCGAUGACUUGAUCGAGCUCUGCAUGGGCUCUUGAUAGUUUCUCCGGAUUGUGGAGUAGCUCGGCCAUUGCCCAUUCUAUCGUGCCAGAAGUUGUAUCAGUGCCUGCAACAAACAAAUCCUAUGUUCAAUGAAUAAAUCCAAGCUCAAAAUCACUUGGUUGAAUAAUAGCUGAGCUGCAUAUUGAGCAUGUAAUAAUAUAGAGAUUCCUACCCUUAAAACUAUUGGGUACAAGCAAGAAGAGCCAUAUAUAGAGAAGCAAAGCUAAAAUACAUCGUGAAUUUUAAGAUUAGAAACACGAAAUGAUUAUACCAUAAGUGCUAUAUUCUAUGCAUGAGAUACAAUUAAUUAUUAAAUAUCUACUCACAUCUACGAUGGCUUUCUAAACCUUUCAGUUGGUGCGAUUUAAGUAUAAACCUUUAUAGGAAAAUGCAAUUCAAUUUUAGAAUUGUUUGAGAAAGUGCAAUUUAAGAAUGGGAUAAUACCCUAAAAUACCCCAAACCGGUACAAUUGUGACAAAUUUACCCCAAACUAUUUUUUUGAUCACAAAAAACCCCAAACUGGUAUGCUUUUGACAAAUUUACCCCAAACUGGUACACUUGUGACAAAUUUACCCUAUGUUAGUUUUCGUUAAAUUUUAUUCUCAAAUUAUAAAGUUAAAUAACACGUGACAGUUAACCAGUAUACCAAUUUAGGAUUUUACGUUCCGUUUGUCACAGUUUACAAUUUUUUGUGAUUUUUUUGUGGUAUUAAUCCAAUUUAUAUAGGGUAUAUUUAUCACAAAUUUACCAGUUUAGGGUUUUUUGCAGUCGAAUAAAUUAGUUUGGGGUAAAUUUGUCAUAAAUUACCAGUUUAGGGUUUUUUAUAGUUAGUCGGGGUAAAUUUGUCACAAGUUUACCAGUUUUGGGUUUUUCAUGGUCAAAAAUAUAGUUUGGGGUAAAUUUAUCACAAAUGUACCAGUUUGGGGUUUUUCAAGGUAUUAACCCUUUAAGAAUUUCACAUCCAAAGAUGCUGCAAGCAACGGGAAAGUAUGCACAUUUAUUUUGUUUCUCGUGCUCUUUUAACUUGUAAAACUGCUAAAGUGCACACUUUCAUAGGAUUCCAUUAGAUAUAGAAUCUUCGUAAGUCUUCGAAAAUUGUCUAUGUUCAAGGAUUUCUUAUAUCACUCGGCUAAAAUGAUUUUUACUAGUAGAUUUUGGACUCUAGUGUCUGAGAAGACACUUCAUCUUCAAUAAAAUCAUAAGAAGUGUACUAGUCAACACGAUUAAGUGACAGAAGUGUAGAUAUUUUGUGGAACUCACACACAGAUGCAUUUUUAUGUGAAUUGAUGGACCUCUUGUGGGGAAAAAAAGAAUACAUUGAUGCUCUAUUUGUAUCGCAAAAAAUGAUUAUUUUGGAAAAAUAUUUUCUUACAAAGAAUCACUUAUAUAAUUUGAAAAUUUAGUUAAUGAAAAUUUUUUUUAUUGUCGACAACAAAUCAUGUCCAAAUAUUUUGGUGGAUAAUGAUGAUAAUAAUUCUUGUUCAUUUAUUUUUGUAAGCAACGCAAGCAAUCCUUCUUAGAAAAAUGUUUUACAAAUCAUUCAUUUUCCGCGAAACAAACGGAGCCUUGAUGAUGAACAAUUUUGGUUUCUGUCAAUAAAUUAGUCAUGAGAAAGCUGAGUUUAAGAGGUGAUUAGAGGUCAUCCGAUGCAUUCUGAGGUGAUUAGAAGUCAUCUGACGCAUUCUCCUAUUCGAACUUCUGUCUUAAAUUUGGCACACGUAUAAUGACGUUUCCAUAUUCCUUGAGUAAGCAAGCAUGUUUAACUGGUGCAUGCACCAUUUGCUUUAAUUUUCUGUAAAUUGGGGAUGUGAGGUUGGAGGACUGAAGGAUAAAAAGGGGCAUGCAUGUGAAUAGUUGCUAAUUCUCAACCUCUGAAGUUGGAAUGAGAGACUUGAACUAAGACCAAACUUGCCGCAAAGCAUCCUGUUGCAUCAUUGCUUAUUAGUGGCUCGGAAAAUUCAUUUACGUCGAUUUCUCUCUCUGGCCCAUAGAAGGGUUGUUGCUGCUAAGCAUAGUUUUCAAAUGUCCACUGGAAACUGAAUAACUGGAAAACUGUUAGAUGUAUACACUAUAUAGUUUGAUUGUUGUGAUGCAAUCCGCUUUAAGAUCUGGUCGAACAGUUAUUUCUUUAAAGUGGUGAUCCAAUGACUGUUGUUUCUUUUGCAGGCUGAGAAGAAGAAUCCGGUUGGUCUGCAAGAACAAGUAAUUAUAUCUAUUUUUUUCAUACCUAUUUGGGAUAAAGGAGGCUGAAUAUUGAGAUGAAGCUGAUAUAGGUGCACGUUUUGCAGGUUUUUGUGAGAAAAGUGAUUGAAUUACAUGAUAGGUACCUAACAUAUGUCUACAAUUGUUUUGAGAGCCACGCUGUUUUUCACAGGUAUGAUGCUGUUGCUGCUGGUUCUGCGGGAACUUCUAUUUAUGCUUAAUCUCAAGUUCUCUGCUGUUCUGUAAGCUUGAAAGAAGGCUUCCGAGGUCGUCUUCAGUAAGGAGUCAGUGGAAGCUCAACUGCAGAAUUGCUGGCCACUUUUUAUGACAACAUACUAAAGAAAGGUGGUGGUGAGAAGUUGACUGAUGAAGUUAUUGAGGAAACGCUUAAGGUAUUAUUUUGCACUUACACACUAAUGGGCUAAUCACAUCACAUUCUACCGUUCUCGAUUCCUUUUUCUUUGGUCAUUGCACUCGUGGUAAAGCUGGUUGCCGAUAUGGGUGAUAAAGAUCUAUUUGCUGAGUUCUACAGGUGAUUAUUUAUCCAGCUCUUGCUAUUACCUGCCUGCAAUCAGAAGUCCUCUGUGGGCAAACCAUAUUGACGGAAUCUAUUGGUUAUUAACUAUGGGAGGAAAAAGCUUGCGAGGCGACUUCUUUUUGAUUAGAGUGCUAAUGAUGAUCAUGAGAGAAGUAAUUUGACCAAGCUAAACCUACAUAAUGCGGCAGUCAAUUCACCUCAAAGAUGGAGGGAAUGGUCGGUUGCCCUAAUUGUCACUGCUGAUUAACUGACUUCUGCAAUAUUUGAUGCUAGGCCAACUAUUUUCCACAAUUUGCCGAAUUAUUUUUCUUUCAGAUGAGAGAUUUGACAUUGGCAAGGGAAAACAAAACUAGUUUUGAAGAGUAUCUCAGCAACAAUCCUAAUGCAAAUCGUGGGAUUCACUUGACGGUUACUGUUGUGACAAUUGGCUUCUGGCCGAGCUACAAAUCUCCUGAUUUGAAACUUCCAGCAGAGAUGGUAUGCGUGUCAUCCUUUUCAUCUUUCGCCGUUUCUUCAAGGAAGCGUUCUGUGUGCUGCGCGUAUGUGUAUCCCCUUCUCCUUUUGUCGCACUACAUUUAACAAUUUGCUUUUUGCUAGAGUUGCUAAUAUCACUGGUCGUUUUUGUGUCAUCUUAGGUAAGGUACGAUGAGGUUCUCAAGGAAUUCUAUCAGAAAAAAACGAAAGAGAGAAAACUAACGUGGAUAUACUCCUUGGGUACAUGUGACAUGGUCUGAAAUUUUAAACCAAGAACAGCGGGGCUGAUUGUCACAACUUAUCAGGUCUCUUGAAUAUAAUUGUUCCAUCUUUUUCCACCCUUCUCUUUUCCUUUUGUUUCCCCCUCCACAGUCGCCAGGAUAGAUAGAAGGGGUCACCUGCCACAAAAGGACACGCGCGAAUAGGCAUCUGCUUUGCUGCUUUUCAACACCUCAGAGAGAUUAAGUUAUUCAGAGAUCAUGAACCAGUUAAAUCUGAGCAACAGCAACGUUGUUAGACUUCUGCACUCAUUGUCAUGUGCCAAGUACAAAAUUAUCAAUAAAGAGCCAAAAACAAAGACAAUAUCAUUGACCAAUCACUUCGAAUUUAAAACGAUGUUAAUUGACAAAUUGAGAAGGAUCAAGGUAUAUAUUGUUGCUCGACAUUUUUCCAUAUUUUUCCCUUAGCUUUCAAUUCCUAUGCAUUCAAAUGACUGUGAUCUGCCAAUCACCAGAUUCCACUCCCUCCUAUGGAUGAGAAAAAGAAAGUAAUUGAAGACAUUGAUAAGGAUCGGUGCUAGGCCAUAGAUGCAUCAGUUGUGUGCAUCAUGAAGAGUUGGAAAGUUUUAGGUUAUCAGCAGCUGGUUAUGGAGUGUGUCGAGCAGUUAGGAACCAUUCUUUAGGUCUCUGAUGAUCGCUAUCUUUUCUCCUAAUUAUUGUUUUUUUGCUCAUCUCCCUUGCAAAUGUGUGCUCAUCUUUAUUACAUAAGAACUUGUCCAUUGCAGCCUGAUUUUGAGGCGAUCAAAAAGCGGAUAGAAGAUUUGAUCACUCAGGACUAUAUGGAGAGGGAUAAAGACAAUCCUAAUUUGUUCAAAUAUCUUGCAUGAAAAACUGCUAGUCUUCCGUCACCUACAGAAGUUGCUGCAGAUAUGGGAAACGGCAGAGGGGAGUUCAAUCAUUUUCUUUCCAAAGGUUUUAGAAGAUCCAUGAGUUCAGCUGUACUUCUUCCACUUGAUCGAUUGGGAGUGCACGAGCUGAAAACACCUGUACGUUUUGCUUUGAGUGCCAAGUAUCAAUGGUUAAAGAAUUUGCACCCAUCCUGGAAGAUAUCAUGUAAUGACUGAUCCUUAGAGCAGGACCAUCCAGCGUCUUCUGUAUCAGAGCACACAAAUGACUAUUGGUAUUUUUGGGUUAAUUUGUCCUUUGUCUCAAAUCUCAAGAAUGAGAUUCUACUUUUUUUUAACAUAAAUUAUUAUUCUGAUUUCGGUCUGUGCAGCAAUACGUCGGAACUUUCUUUUCUUCUGAACUCUAGCAGCAAUUAGGUUUUUUACAGCCUUGUUUCAUACUGGUUCUUCAUCGAAGGGUAAUUUAUAAUUCUCACUUCAUUUUGGGUAUGUGUGAUGGUGAAAUAACUUCAAGAAUUUGAUCAUAGUAUUGUGUUAGAAUUUUGGGUGAGUGCAUUGCCAAACUCAUGCUGAAUCAGUUGACCAUGCAAAGUUCCUGUGACCAAUAAAUACACAUGAUUGGUCAAAAUUCGGGAGGUCCUAAGAAUUUGAUAGCAAAAUUUGUGGUCCAGCACUGAGAAGUGAAAUUAUAUCUUUCGAUGUUGUGUAUUGAAGCAGCCUUCAGACAGAUUUGGUAUGGUUUUAAACAAAAGUCUCAAGUGCAUGGGAAUGAAUUCGCCCGUUCAGCACUUUGUCUGCAAGAACAAGUAAUUCUAACUUUUUCAUGUCUUAUUUUGGAUAAAGGAGGCUGAUUAUCCAGAGGAAGCUUAGACAGGUCCACGUCUUGCAGGUUUCUGUGAGGAAAGUGAUUGAAUUACAUGACAAAUACCUAGCAUAUGUCAAAGAUUGUUUCAAGAACCACCCUCUUUUUCAUAAGAUAUGCUGCUGCUAGUUCUGCUUCUGGGCAUCCCUGUUCAUGCUUAAUGUCAAGUUCUCUGCCCUUCUGUACGCUCAAAAGGAGGCUUUCGAGGUCUUCUGCAAUAAGGGUGUCGUUGGAAGCUCAAGUGCAUAGCUACCGGCCACUUUUUUUUGACAAUAUACUAAAGAAAGGGGGCGGUGAGAAGUUGAGUGAUGAAGCUAUUGAGGAAACGCUUGGGAAGCUGCUGUUUUGCAUUAUACAGCAAUGAGCUAAUCAAAUCACAUUCGACUGCUCCUCAUUCCUUUUUCUUUGGUCAAGGCACAGGUGGCAAAGCUGCUUGCCUAUAUCAGGGAUAAAGAUCUAUUUUGCCGAGUUCCAUAGGUGAUUUUUUAUCCGCCUCUCACUGUUACUUGCCUGCAAUGAGAAGUCUUCUGUGGGCAAAACUGCUGGCCACUUUUUUUGUUAUUCUAUCUGCUUCACAUCGUGCUUUGUAAAUUGCUCUGUUUGUUGGCACUAAUCCUCUGUUUUAUUUUUAUUUAUUGAAAUUUGAAUUUAUAAAAUAACAUAUGUGUACUAUUGAACUAGUGUGAUUUCUGACCAAAAAAAAAAAAUAGUGUGAUUGGUCAUUUUCUAACUAUUAUUAUUAUUAUUAUUAUUAUUAUUAUUAUUAUUAUUAUUAUUAUUAUUAUUAUUAUUAUUAUUAUUAUUAUUAUUAUUUAAUUUAGAAUUUUUAUUUUAUUUUUCCUAACAGUGAUUAGGGGCUCUUACAUUUUUUGAAAUGUUAGUCUUUUUAAGCCUAAUCUCUUAACAUUUGGAGGGUUGUGUUUAUUCGGACAUAACUUCUUCUCAUUGAAAUUCGAAAUUAUAAAAAAAAAAUUUGAUUUUUAUUCCGGAUUUUCAAUAUAUCUUUUCAAUAUGUUUUUGAGAAAAUAUAUGUUUGGAACAAACUUUUCCUGAAAUGUUGCAUUCGAUUCUGAAAAGAUUGAUAUAUUCAUGGUUUUACGUCUCAAUUUUUUUAAUUCACUUUUUUUUCCUUUUUUUCUGAAAAGAUAUACAGCUUGCUUUCCAGUUAUUUCCUUUUGAGAAAUCCUUGAAAAACUACCAAAAUUGUUAAAUGGUAUUCUCACUAAGACUUUGUUAUAUUCAGGAGGAUUUUUGCAAGGUAGAGCAAAUAAUUCCUUGAAGAGACGCCUCAAAAUCCGAUUCAAUUUCUUCCCAUUCCAGACUAUAUUUGCCAACGAGAUCUCGUUGUUUCCAGAGCAAAACAGAACUCUGAAAGGGUCCUACAGAGACGCCACGACGCCGUCCAGGUCUCUGGCCAGACAGCACCCCCGCAGGGUUGUUCACCUCAGCCGCCCUGUGUUUGACUCGCUCCUGAAGGUGAGGAUCCAGUGCCUCCGUUCCCUUGCAGAGCAAAGAGGGGUCGAAGCUGCUAGUGACUGGAGGGCCUCAGAGCUUAAACGGGGGUUGGUAUCUGGCUUUCUGGAUCGAAUCGCAUGGGCGUUCAGUAUGGUGAUCCCUGGUGCGAACACAGAGAGCACCCACAAACUGAGUUUUUCUCUCUCCUUUUAAUUUUACAACGCUCCAAGAAAUUCUGUUCAUUGACAUUCGAUUCGGCCUGCGGCUGGGUUGCCGACUCAUCGCUGCUAGGCGCCGCUGAGCCAAAGACACAUCCAGGUUGUCGCUGUUGCCAUCCAAGUCGCGUGUCGCCCUUGUCGGAGUAGGGCAAAGCUUUGUCAAUGCCGACUUACACCCUUGUACGUCAUAGGUAUGAGCCUCGAACAAUCUUGUUGAUUAUCAUUUAGCAUGAUUAUAUGAUUAUCUUGGGUUUGCGUUAGAUUUUCGGCGAAACUAGGAAAUCACGAUAUGUUCGAUGCUUGGGUCUUACCCUCUAAUUAUUACUCUGUGUGUGUAUAUAUAAACAAAUUAACAUGAAUUGCUGUCAAUUUGGCAUUGGAGGAUUUAUCUUAGCCCCUAGUCUGAUUUGGCAUCUAAGUAUAUUCAGAUUUUAAAGAUUGAUUGCUAUAAUGGUAUACAUUAGCAUUGGAAAAUUUGAUUACUACGUCGGCUAUGGGCCACUGGCACCUUACCAAUUGGAUGGGAUGAGGAGUUUAACAUGCUACCACCUAAGGAUAGCGAUUCGUCUGUACGCACUCGUCGACAAACCUUGAAAGUGCCUCACGACCUGCUUAAAGGACAAUGGUUUGAGGCUGGGGAGAUAUUAGGACCAAGUCAAUCAAGUUCAGAUUAGCCGGCUUAGCCUGACUCUCUUGGCCACUUACAAAUCAAAGUAAUUUAGGUCUAGGAACAUGGUUUGGAAAAGGAACCUUGAAAAGCCAAUAGAGAACCAAAGAAACAGGAUCUCCAAAGAUGGAAAGGACUGAGUUCCAAUUCACUAAUUAGGAGGUGAUGGAGUUAGAAAACCUCACACUGCAUAACUCCAUAAAUCUCAAAACAAUUAAAAUAUCAGCUAAAAUUAAUCAUAGACCUGACUCUAAGGUUUUGGUCGAUGGAGAAUCCACAUUGAACCUUAUUCCAUACGGCUCAGGUCAUCUACUUUUCGUGAUGCGUACUUUGCUGCUUUAUCUUCGUGUUACCGAUCUUGAUUGUGAUUGUUUAUUUAUUUGGUUGCCCAUUCAUGCAUGGUCACCACGUAAUGGUUUAAGUUUUUAAAAUGGAAGAAGAUCACAUACAAAUAUUUCAAAAAAAUGAGAACAAAAUGGUGCCUAAUUAGACUUGGUGUAACCAAGUCCAAAUUUUUAGGAUCUCUGGUUCAUGGAAAGUGCAAUGACUUCUCAUAUUUCACUUGACUCCAUCAACCUAGAAUAGGUUAGUGGUGACUCUCAAAAGCAAAAGAACAUGUUAAUCAUAAUGACCAAAUUAACCAAAUGUCGCGAAUUAAGACCCGCUUAGCAUAACAUCAUACGAGGCUUCGAUUGUUCUCACAUGGCAAGUCAUCAUUGUAAUUGACGCCCUGUCCAUCCUCCGAGGGAGGCUCGCGCCUAUACAUACUAGCAAAAAAAAAAAUUACACAGAUUAGCAUAUCAUUGAUUAUGUUUGAAGACAUGAAUCAUUCUAGAAGAUGAGACUGUAAAAUGAAAAUUAUUUGAAGGAUAAAAACGUGCUUGAAAAUCGUAACUAAAGAGAAUCUUUGAAAAAAAAAAUGGUAUUUUAGUGAACGUGCUUUAGAUGGAAAUAAGAUAAGCAUACAUUGACACUAUUAUAAGUCAUUGAGAAAAAUGUUUGAAAAGUCAACCUAUUACAUUUUGGUUAAUUUAGUCCUAAUUUUUUUAAUUUUAUCAAUUGACUCCUAAACUCUUCUUAUGUUUUGCCAAUUGAGUCAUUUCGGUUAAUUUUAGCCAAAAAUCGCUGACAUAGAUGCUGGGGUAUCCUACAUGGUAUGGUCAGCAUUAACGUUGACAAUUUUAUAAUUUUUUAAAAAUUUCCAUUUUUUUAUUUUCUUUCAUUGUUUCUUUUUCUCUUUUUUUCUUCCAACCCCCAUGAGGGUAGGCCAACCCUCAUCGGUCAAGGGCAAGGGAAGUGACCCUUGCCCAAUGGCUAACGAGGGUUGGCGGGACCCUCGCCGAACUUGGUUGAAAAAAAAGAGGGAAAAGAAAGAUAUAAAAAGAAAGAAGAUAAAUAAUAAUAAAAUUAUAAAAAAUGUUCACUUCAGUGCUAGUCAUCCUAUGUGGCACUACCGGUGUCCGUUUCAUCGAUUUCCAGUUAAAAUUGACCAUAUGGUUUCAUUUGGCAAAACGUGUAAAGAUUUAUGAUUCAAUUAGCAAAAUUGAAAGGUUUAAAACUCAAUUGACUAAAGUACAAUAGGUUUAAGACUUUUUUGAUGAUUGUUCCAUAAGUUAUAAUUAUCUCAACUCUUCCAAAUUUCCAAUUUUCCAUUAAAACUAGGGGUGAGCAUCAAGGGUAGAACCUAGAACCUGAGAACCAAACCGAUGUGGACUUGUUUGGCUCCAAGUUCCAAGGUAUACAGAGUUGAUUUCAAAUUCUAAAAAUUUGGGAACUUGUUUUAACGGAUAGGUUGCAAGUUCUAGAUUGGUGGUACUUAGAACUUAGAACCUAGAAUUUGGAAAAAGUUUCUAUAUUUUUCUUAGUUUAUAUUUUCACACAAAACUUGCGAUACUCUAUGGUAUUUAAUAAUGAGUGUAUAAUCUGAAACCACUAGUCUGAACUUCCAUUUUAUAACUAAGACUUUUACAUUGUUAAUGUUUUAUAUUUUUUCGUGUGUCUAAAUAUAAGUUAUGAUCAGUAAAUUGUAACAAUAAGUGGUAGUAAUUAAAGAUUAUAAUUCAUUGUAAUCGUUCAAUUUAUAAUAUAAGUGGAACAUAAGUAGACCAUGGAACCAAAACGAGAACCUAUAAUGGGAUAAGUUCUAGGUUUCAAGGUAUAAAUAGUAGAUUCUGGGUUCCAAAAACUGAGGAACUUAUUUUAACAGGAAGGUCUUAAGUGGAAUAUGUAUAGAACCUAGAAAUGUUUACCCCUAAUCAUAAUGAUAAUCAUAUUUUGACUUAUUAUAUAUAGGAUGGACCAUCAUUAUCGUAUUUUGGAAAAUGGUUUCUGAUUUAUUUAAAGAGGAAGUCCAUUUUUUGUAUUUAAAUAAACUUUUCUUGAUAAUUAUGUAAAGAUUUUCUAUUGACUCAAUUUUAAAAUAAUCCAAACACUGCAAACAAGGAAAAUAUUCCUCAAUAGUAAAUUUUUACUAAGACAAUUGGUUUUUAAAUGUUAAGUACAUCAAAUGGGACCAUAAUUAUGCAUUAGAAUGUGGAAAUGAUUCAUCCAUAGUCGUACCGUCCAAGAAAAUGUAUCCUUAUUUGGUUAUAUUCGAUCGCACUCAGUCUUCGGUUUUCGUACAAAUGCAAUAAAUUGACUCAUAUUUAUAUAUUUAACAAGUUGAGAUUGAAUUGCUAAUUAUCAAUUACACAUCUCACGGCAAAAAGUUAGUGCACUACAUACGUACCUUUUAACAAAAUCCUAUUUGUAUAUCAUUAGAUCGAUUCCUCUAAUUAAUGAAGUUGAUUAAUGAGAUAAUACUUUUUAAAAAGAGUAAAAAUUGAAAGAACUAUAACAUAGCUAUCUUGCAACUCCUCCGGUCAUUGAUGAAGCCAUCGUAGUACAUAUAUUUUAAUUAUCAUCAUUAGAGAUAAGUACAUUGUAAAACGUCCUUACAUCAUAUAUCAGUGUAUAUAUUAUCAUAAUAUGGGUUAAUAUAUUUGUCAUAAAUUUGAAAUGACGUCAAUGUAUUGGAAAGCUACUUGACCAUACGGUUCACUAAUUAAGGAGGAACUAGGCAAAAUUAUAGUAGUUCUUGCCAAGUUCGGAAGAACUAUAAUGUGUUUAAAUGAGAAAUUUAUAUCAAGCACCAACUCAUCUGAUAAUGGAAGCUUGGUGACGUAGCUGUGGUCUUCUACAUCCAAUUUCUGUCAAGCCCUUCUCAAAAGCUACUUACAUUCAGCACACAUAUGUUACCUAACUUCAUCAAAUAAAUGUAAGUUGUAAUCAAUACCGACUGUAUGGCUAAACCAAAUGUGUGUUGAAGAACAAAUCUACAAAAUAUAUGAUUAAACACUCUAACCAUAUUUACCAUGAAGAGUUUCAUAAAGUAACACAAACUUUGCUUAAAUAGUCUCUAAAAGGACAAAGGAGACAACCAGAGUAAUUCACAAACUUUGCUUAAAUAGUCUCCAGAGGACAAAGCAAACAACCAAAUAUAAAUUUCAAACUUCAGCUAUACCAUAUACUAUUAUUUAAAAUCAUGGGCAUUUCCAUUAGAUUUCAUAAGUGAUCCCUACUUUGAGCAGCCUCUUGUGGGGAACGUUGAACACGUCCUCUGGCUGCCUCACGCACCUCUUCAACCAGUUGUACAGGCAAUUGAUUACAACCUUUUUGCAAAGCCUGAACCCCUCGAAGCUUUCACCUCACUCUGUCCCAUUAGAUACAUGAUCCCUCCAAUCUUGAUUGCUUCAUCCACCAAUCCAAUGAUCAUCGCGAUUCCAUGGUCACUGGCCUCACCUCGCUCGUCGGCGUAGGGUGCGUUGUUGUGAAUGAAAUCCUUCGUUGUGAAUGAAAUCCUUCAAUUGGUCAAUCAAGACCUUCUCGAAGAAUUGCGGCUCUAUCUUUGCAUCUCGAUAUCCGUAUCUCACAACGCACCGUUACAUGCCCGACACCUGCGGCUCCACCUGUCGAAAGAAGAACCGCUCCUCGAGGGGCACGUUGCUUAUGGGUAGUGACUUGAUUGAGACGAAGACAAGGACUGAGUGCAAUGCAGGUACAUGGGCGACAUAUUGAGCGAAUAUUGGGGAAAUGCCAUGGACAAGCUCGGUGUAGAAUAGGGCGACCCCAGGGGCCCGGUGGAUCGUGUUUGACACGAUCGUGACAAGGGCUUCUCUUGAUACCUUAUUCUCAAGCUGAAACUCAUACUUCUUUCGAUAUCCGUAAUUCCAUAGCAACAUAAUGGUCAUCAUCACGGCAGCGAAGAAGAGUGGGACGUAACCCCCAUCCAAGAAUUUGUAGAGGACUUAGCUUAGAAACACGUACUCUACGAGCCCGAUGGUGAGGACAUAGAGGAUUACGAGGAGUAUGUUGGUCUUCCAAAUCAUGACCAUCACGAUAACGAGGAAUGUGGACGUGAUAGCGAAAACAAAUGCUACCGCAAUUCCUGCAGUAGAGAUUCCCGAAUAAAUGUGAAUUUUUCUUUCAAUAAUCCCAAUUAAAUAGCUCAAUCAAUUAGAGAACUUGCAUAAGUGGGCUAAAUGUGUGUAUAUAGUGUGAUCCUUUUUGCUUACCGUAAGCAUUGCCCAACUUCAAUGUGGUUUUGAAGCCAAGAGUGACUCCAACACAGGUCAACAUGAGGAGGGUGUUGACCUCAGGUAUGUAAAUCUGACCCUCGUGCUUUCGCGAAGUGUGCACGACCUUCACGUUUGGGAAGCACCCGAGCGCGACUGACUGCUUAACUAUGGCAAACGUGGCUGAUAUCAUGGCUUGACUUGCUAUUAUCGCCGCCAACACCGCAAUCACAAACAUUGGCCAAUACACCGAUUCUGCAUCAAACCAUCAGAUAAAUUCAUUCGAUGUUCCAACAGGAUAAAUGAUGCAUCGGAUGAAGUAGCAUGAGGAAGCUUACUGGGUAGUGAGCUGUAGAAAGUGCUAGCAACAUUUUCACUGUGCUUUCGGAGAUAUGCCGCUUGACCAAAGUAGGCGAGGAUGAUUGAAGGAAGGACAACUAGGCAUGAACUCAAUUGAAUUGAGAGGAUAUUAAAGUGCCCCAGAUCAGCAAACAAUGCUUCAGAACCUAUAAUCAAAGGCUCAAAGAGUAAAACCACAAUUAAUUCUUCAAAAGAAGUUAUAUAUCUUGGUUAAAAUGAAAUAAGAAUUAACUAAUAGAUGAAUCAUUUAAAUGAUGUUUAGCUAUAUGUUUUCAGUUAUAAUAAUUAAUCGAUGAAAAGAUUCAGACGUUUGGAUUACCAGUGAGGCAAAGAAUCACCCCUCCAAGAGAAAUCCAUGCUUCCUUUUUGUUUCUCAUGAAGUAAUGGACGAUGUAGAGCGGAUUGACGGCUUUGAUCACUCCCGAGUCAUGUUUCGCGAUAUUAUAGAUGCCAAUUAGUCCGAUACCAAGGAACCAUAUAGAGAGAAUCGGGGCAAAACUGUAUCCAACUUUGUGAGUCCCGAACCUUUGGACUUGAAACAGAAGGAUCAAGAUCACCACAGAGAUCCACAUUAUUUGAUUUUCUCCAAGUGAACUUGCAGCUCCUUGUAUUCCCCCAACAGCCGACAAUACUGCCCCCAGAGAAGAAGAAAAGAAUCAGAACCAUCUAUCAAAAUUCAACCGAGAGAAGUAAUUGUAUCAAUAAAUAAGCCGAGACGAUGUAUAUUGUUGUUUUAUACUACCGAUUGAAUGUGCUGUCUCAUUUCCUUCGUAGAUUAAGGGAAAAGUUAGAAACCUAUUGGUGCAUCCUUUUCUUUUAAAAAAAAAAAUCUUAAUGAAAAUAUUACUACCGGAUAUGCAUGGUGUAAGAAUUCCAUCUCCAAUGACCAUGGCGGUGCCCAGAAUAGUUACAAAUAAGAGCAAGUACUUGGCUGCUUCGCUAUUCUCGAGAAAUAAUUUCAUGGCAGAGGCCCGCCGGAAGUGGCGGCUCGGCACCUCAAGUCGGUAGUUUGAGACUUCCUUGUCUUCAGCUUGUUGGUUAGGGGUCAAGCUUGCCUUAGCAUAGCGGCACAUUAGAGAGUACAAAGCAAAUGUCCCUCCUAUAUUGUUAUAGCCAAAAACCUAACUACAUUAGUGCAAUAUUUGGUAUAGACAAAAAAUAAAAAUAAAACCCUUGUAUGUCAAAUCAAAUUUUGUGGUAUAAUGGUGUGAGAGGAAUCGCUUACCAUCCCCAUUGUCAUUUGCCGAUAAAACAAUGAAGACAUACUUGAUCAGGCCAAUGAGGAUGAUCGAAUAGAAGAUUAGAGAUAGCACUCCAAGGAUAUCGUCUUCAUGUUUUAUCCCGUCAGGAAAAAUUCCUGACAUGACAUAGAGAGGCGAUGUGCCUAAAUCGCCGUACACCACCCCGAUGCUUUGAAUAGCAAGCUUCAAUAUCAUCACCCAUGCCAAAUUCUGCACUUAGAAAGACAGUAACCAAAUCAUGAUCAUGAAAGCAUUUCCUUAGCUUCACUCUUGCUGCGAUUUUGUUUUAAGUUUCAAUUGGUUAUAAUAAAUAGUCCAAGAACAAACAUAGGAAACAAAAGAUGCAAACAAACAAUUCGAUAGAAUGGUAAACAUUAAACUCCGCAUAUCUCUUCAUUUAACUCCAUUAUUUUCACUUCCCUCUAUAUUUUCCUAAUCACAAGCCUUCAAUUUUCAUGCCUUUUAAACUGGAAAUUUAUCUAGCUAAUUAGCUGAUAUAUAAUGGCAAACAUCACGACAUUUAACCAUCCUCUUAGUAUUCUACCUUUCUUCCCUAUGCAUUUUUACAUUUAGCUAAUUCGAGUGAUAUGCCAUUCUCAAAUUCAAAACAACAUAUCCCUUUCAAAUUCAUAUUAUAAUAUUUUUUAUCAACUCACAUGAUCGAAAGGAACUGAAAAAAAAAAUGCGCGUCAUUUUUCACUGAUGGAAUUUCAAAAAUUGUAUUAGCUACUCAUUCAUUCAAAAAAAAAAAUCUAGGGACUAUAUUCGAACUAAUUAUACCAAGGAGUAGCCUGAAAUUUUUUUAUUCCAACCGGAGUAUUUUUCAUGAAAGAAAAACUUUAUUCUUUCUUUUUGCUUUUUCAGGGAACGAGAAGAACACUGACCUCUUUGGAGGAAUAACCAUGGUCCGACUUGAAUCGGGAGGUCUCUAUGUCGAACGAAUCGAAUUUCUUGAUUUUCCUCGAUCCCUUGUCUCCCUCAUGUCCGUCAGUCGAGUCGACUUCCAAGACCUUCGGCCUCUCUUCCUCUGUUAUGCCGUCCCGCUCCAUUGAAGAAUCACAGCAAGAGAGAGAGAGAGGGGGGGGAAGAGAGAGACGAGAGUGAGCGGGAUAAUUACGUGACCACCUGCUCCAUAGGAGAAACACAGUCGACGCAUCACAUGGGAAGGAAAAGAAGGAUUCGUUGUUACGCGUUUACGUCUGCUGCAAAAGGGAAAUUGACCAAGAAGGGACCACCCUAUUUUUCCAUACGUAUCUCUUUACAAUCUGCUUUCCAGUUUUGGAAAAAAAAAAGGUUUGACUUAAUACCAUCGAUCGUGAAAGCGCGUGAAUCUUUUUUUUUUUUAGGUAAUGGGGUCUCUCGAAAAAGGCAUUAGCACAUGAGAUACUUUGAGAGAGAGAGAGAGAGAGAGAGAGAGAGAGAGAGAGAGAGAGCCGUCUUCAAACCGUCCUUCUGAUCUGUAGGUUAUAAAUUAGGGCAUUCAUCCGCUUUUAAUCUGUGUUAAUCUGAACGUGGUUGAUGUUGGUAAAUAUCGGUAACGCAUUAAUUAAAAAACUUUCUCCGAACUCCUCCAUAUAGCCAUUAUAACAUUUUAUUUUUCUAGUCAUUUGCCGUCGAAACUACCUAUUUAGUCAUAUGAUAUCUUUUUCGUGGCUGCUCGUGCUUUUAUCUUGUUGUCAUUACUUGAGGAAUUAAGUCUGAAAGUUGAAAAUAGCGGUGCGGGCUUAUCACGUGAUUUUUUUUAAAAGUGCAGUUUUCGAUUUUUUACGUUUGAACGUACAAAUUUCCAUAUGUUAACAAUAAUCCUAUUUUAUGGCCAAAAAACGAGACUCGAUUUUUGGAACAACAUCUGUCUCUAGAAGUAAAAGAUACCGUAUGCGUUGGUCAUUAAUUCGCCGGGGUAUCACUGAGAUCAAUCACCUAACUCCAAUUUCGAGCAAGGCGAUGACUUCAUUACUAAAUUAAGAACCCUCUUUUGGAAGAUUAUAUUUUCAGUAAUUCACUGAAAAGAUUAUGGAGAAAGUUCGUCGGUGAGGGUAUAAAAAGCAUGGGAUAUAUUCAAACGAAAUACUGCUGUUGCAUCAUUGUACGGAUCAAUUUGGCGAAUCGAUCAUCUAUCCCUAUCUUUUAGUUUUUAAUUUGAUUAGCAUAGUUGUUAUUAACAGAGAGUAGACUUUAAACAUGGUUGGGCGGACCGCUAGACAAGUGAAGUCCUAAGGUCAUAUUUGGUUGUAUGGAUUUUAGGUUAAAAUAGGAUUGGAUAAAUAGGAUAAGAAAUCUGAGAAUUUUACUAUAUUAUAUUUACCAUUUAAUGUAGCCAAUAAAGCCAUAUACUUUCAUAUUCUAUCACGUCAACUAUUUGAUAUGAAUUGCAAAUUAGUGUAAAUGAACUUGAAAAUGCACAAAUAAAAUGGGUAAGACUCUCUCAAAUAAAAAAACAGAGAUAACCUCCAUUAAUCAAUCAAUCAAUCAAGGGUUAUCAUAAUAUUAGAUAACAAAUAAGCUCAUUGCAACAUUCUAGAGCCACUAUGCGACUAUGAUAAGAAAUGUGAAUGAGCAUUGGUAAUACUGACAAGGUAGAUCCAUUAGCGUAUGUCAAGAAAGGAAAAAGAAAAAAAAAAUUAGAAAAUCUAAAAUAAAUUGAAAAAUAUCAUACACGUUAGUGCCGGCUAUGUCACGUAAAAUGGCUGAUGCUUGAUCAUAUUAUCACGUUAGUAAUUUCAGGCCAAAAUUGAUCAGGUUGACUACAUUGGAAAAUUGUUAAAAAAUUUAAGACAUAUUGAUUAAAUUAGAAAGUUUAGAACGGAAUUGACAACCAUGUAAUAAGUUUAGGAUUUUGUAGGCAAUUUUCCCUUUUCUUGUCACGUGUUCCAUUGAUUAAACGUGAAACUAAAUUUUAAACCUUGAUUUUGGAGAAUUUGAAUUUGGAACCUUUAGAUUUUUGGGAAGUGGAACAAUAAUUUAAUUUUGUUGAGCUUACUGUUUUAUUAAAUUAAACUUAAAAGUCUUAUUACAUUAAUUACUUUCCGCACCAGGGUUGAUUAACGUUUUUGUGGUCCAAAUUUUUGAACAAACAUGUCCCGGUAGCCUUUUUUUUUUUUUUUAAGUAGAAGUAUUUUUCUUGCCACCGUUCGCAAAUUCAUGUUUCGGUGCUGAGCGCAUAAAGUCCAUUUGUUUUUGCGGAAGUCCAUUUGUUUUGCGGAAAAUGCAUGAUUUUAAAAAUAUUUUACUUAUAAAAAUAUAUGAGCAAAAUUUGUUUUCAUAGUUUACACAAAUUUUUAUACUUCAAUUGUUUCCAACAAAAAUAAAUAUUUUUUAAUUGCUAAUUAUUUUAAAUGAUACAAACAAAUAUUUUUAGGAAAAUAUUUUUCAAAUCAUUAAUUUUUGCAAACAAACAGGACCUAAGGACACCCGUCAUUUUAAAUCUAAAGAGUUGCUGAGAAAUUCAACAAGUAUAUACUAUUGUAGAAAAUAUUUACUUAACCAGAUACAUAUAUACCAAAAAAGUAAAAAAGAAAAGAGAGUUGGAUCUUAGUAAGUUCUUAAAUUGCUAAGUCUUCAACUUAGACCUCGAGGCUUCCUAGACAUUAAGCAACUAGAGGGGAUUCCCUCCUCUUAAGAAAGAUAAAUAUACAAAGGAGAGCUUGGGGUUGGGCACGUGGGUAUCCGUACGUUAAAAUAAGAAACACAAUCCUGUCAUCCUGCUAGGAGACUUGAUAGGCAGGGUAGCCUCAACUCGGAAGUUCAUACUUUGCCUGAUUACAUAUAUAAAAUAAAAAAGGGGGCCGAUACAUAUAUACAAUUAAAAAGAGAAUCUAUUACAUACGUAUUUAGCCUCUUUGCUUUGCUCAUUUUUGUCACGCCCCGAACCCCGAGCGCGCGCGCAUCCCACUGUGGUCGAUCAAAAAUGCGACAUCCCAGGAUAUGUCGCCGACCCAUUCAUUUCUUUUACGCAUGCGGAAGCGAAACAAAUCUCCUGACAACAUUUAACUUGGGAUAGAAAAGCAGGCAAUCAAUCGCAAUACCAAACACCCAAUUACAAACACAGAGGGUUUAAAUACAACACUGGACUUUCUGCAAAAUAGACCAGCUCGACAAAAGGGGGACUAUCCUACAACCGACUAGCAGGACACGUUCUCCAACCCUUAUGACUUCACCUCUGCAACUCCUCAAGGCCUCAACUGAAGCUAUCUGGCCACUCCGUCCACCGGGGACCUGAAAUUUUAAUCCCACAACCGAGAUGAGACGAUCUCUCAGCAAGUUCAACCCCCUAAACCCCUAUUAGAAAGAAAAUACGCCCCGGGUGGCCUAGCCACAUCACACAGAGGACUUACCUCGGCUCAGCCUUUAUCUGCAGGUUAGCACAAUUUAUAUAAACCAACCACGUGCAAUUAUGAUAACUAGACAACCAUGGCACAAUCACAUUAUCAAACAAUUCAACCACUUGGAUCGUCUCAGCGAUCAAUCGACUCGGCCGAUUACAUGUCAUUCUAGCAAAUCAAUCCUUGCUCUCAACUAUGGCCCUACUUGGCAAAUUUAAAAUCAGUGGCAUCACGGCCCCACUCGGCGCGACCUUUAACAGGUGGCAAUUCACGGCCCCACUGGGCGCGACCUCUAAUAGGUGGCAUAUAACGGCCCCACUGGGCGCGACCUUUAUCAGGUGGCAUAUCACGGCCCCGUCGGACGCGACCUCUAAUAGGUGGCAUAUCACGGCCCCGUCGGGCGCGACCUCUAAUAGGUGGCAUAUAACGGCCCCAUUGGGCGCGACCUUUUUCAGGUGGCAUAUCACGGCCCCGUCGGGCGCGACCUCUAAUAGGUGGCAUAUCACGGCCCCGUCGGGCGCGACCUCUAAUAGGUGGCAUAUAACGGCCAAUCUCCCAUCAAUUUCUACACUUAGGAUUUCAUAAAGAAUCCCUAUAAAUCAUAAUCACACUCAAUUCAUCACAACCAAUCAUCAAUUUCAAAUUCUAAAUGCACAGCAACGAUCAGCACGAAAUUCUGAGCAAAUAAGGUCCCAAUGAAAAUUUUCGGAAUUUAAUAAAUAAUUAAAUUUAUUCCGUAAAUAAUUAAAUAAUAAUAUCCAUAGUUUUCGAAAUCCUCACUCAAUUUAUAAUAUCCAAUCAUCAAUUUCAAAAUCCGAAUGUACCGUAGCGACCGGCACGAAAUUCUGAGAAUUUAGGGUCCCGACCAAAAUUUUCGGAAUUUAAUAAAUAAUUAAAUUUAUUCCGAAAAUAAUUAAAUAAUAAUAUUUUAAUAAUUUCGAAUAAUAAUAUAUUAUUAAAUUAUUUAAUGAUUUCGGGAUAUUUAAAUAAAUCAAAAGUAAAUUCCUUUAUGUCACAUCAAUAUUUAUAUUAAUAUAAACACCCACUUAACUUUAAAUUAAACACAAUUUAAGUUAAUCAAGCACAUUAAUAUAAUCUACACUUAAAUAAAUUAAACUAACCACCUAAUAACACUUAACAUAAACUAAACACACCUAAAGCAUCAUUAACCCUCUAAGCGAGGUUUAGUGAGCUAAACUCACCGGAUUAGCGAACCGAGCGGACCAAAACGACGGGGACGCCGAGGAGAACAACUUUCCUCAAAGCGGGCCGAGCAUCCCGGCUCGGGAAGGCGGCCAAAACGGGCCAAACGUCCGCUGCAUACCCAUUUUUCUUGGUUGCUGUCCAUGGCGGUUUGAGGCCGAGAAUGGGCGGAUCCGGCGCCGGUUGAGGCGGCCAAGGGCGGCGGAGGAAAGGCGAAGCUCCGGCGGCGACGAACGGCGGUUCACGGCGGCGAGGACGAGCUCCGGUAGCUCUCGCACGAGCUGAACAGCAGCUCGGGAUGCCGGCCAAGCGCGGGCGAGCGCGGACGCGAGCGGACCGGCGAGCAGCGCACGGGCGGCGCAAGGCGGACACACGGCGACGGCGGCGUGCGAGCGGGAGCGGACGACCAUGGCUGCAACUCCUUCUUCUCUGCAAUUUUCUGGUCUUCGCACAAUGAAGAUGGAGGAGAAGCCAACGAGAGAGAGGAAGAAGAGAGGGAGGAGAGAGAAGGAGUGGGGGCUCUUUUCUUUUCUUUUUUCCUUUUCUUUAAUCCCUCACACAUGGCCCACCAUGACCUCACAUGAGGUCAUCUUCCACUAUCUCCCACAACCUUUCUCCAAUGGGUUCAUUUUACUUUUCCGCCGGGGCAUGAAACUUUGUACAACAAAUUCUUCAAUUCCACUUGAUUCUCUUCCAAUUGAAUCAAAUUGAAGUUCAUAAAAUUAAUCCAAUGUCACCACACUUCAAUUCACAUCUUCACUUGUCCAUAGAACCAACUUAAGUCCCAAAAGCACAACCAAAGACGAGCUUACUAUUUCUCGAGCCAAAUUAACCAUUUUCGGAUUUAACUUGCCAAAGAACUCUGAUUGCAUGAAAAAUCUUCCAAAGAUAAGUCAAUGAUCCUAAAAUGAUUUGUGACACACCCAGACUUCCAAUUUCUGAAUUCGAUCUCAAUUUCACGGUUAAUUUCACUUUGGCACGAUACUAGCGUGGCCCAACCUACCGGGUAGCCUUUAGAAAUUUUCAUGCAUUUGACCUGUGGUUGAUCAUCUCAAGCCACAAUGUACAUCUUUGAGACAUUGGUGACUUUCGGUUGUCGGGGAAAUCUCAAGGUUUCAAAUACGAACACAGGGUACCCAAUCGAUAGAAAAGUCGGUCCAGUGUCGAUCGACAAGGAUUAUGUGAUCCGGUGGAAUCACCCACACCUGAUCACAUGCCUCUGUCGAGUCGACCUAUCUCCGAUCUCUAAUCAAUUUUAAAUUGUGCCGUAAUGACCCUUGCAGACUAGCUCGGUCGAAAAGUCACUUCCUGAUCAAAUUCUCGAGCCUGAUGCAUUAGAAACUCUUAACAGCUUCACCCGAUAGACUAGUUUUCACAUGAGUGGCCGACUCAAGGAAAUGAACUAUAUGCGUGCCAACGAAAUGCCUGUCUCAAUUUAUUGAAAAUAGAAUUGGAAAAUCGGGAUGUCACAAUUUUAGUGUAUGCCUGGUGGUUGAGCUGCAUGAUCAUAUCUUUUGUCAACUAUCGUCGACUUGUUUGAUGCUUUUUUGCAGGAGGGUUUACACUAUACGUACUCAAAAGCCAUCUCAUGUCUAGUCCCAACAACUGUAUAACAAGUAUAGAGAAACUGUUGGGAAUAACUGAUCCCCAAAAACAGGAUUCGACACUAAAUCGAACCCCUAAAUCAAUGCGGAAGACGAAGCCCGGGAAAACACGUAUCACCAAUCGUAAAGCACACCACGGAUUCGAGCGUACCUUAUUAGCCACAGAUUAGACACCGACGCCAAUAAGAGGAAGAGAAUCUGGCCCUGUUCGAUCCGAUGACGCCUUGAAGGGAAGAAGAAACGUGCCCUUUUGCCUUACUGUUUCUUCUUUUUCUUUUUGAGAGAGAAUGCGCGGGAGAGGAGAAGACGUACGUCAAUUCUGCCAAGAGGUGUCUUCUCUCUCUCUCCUCCCUUUUAUACCUUCCCCCAUCCACGGGCCCUAUUCCCGUGGGCCGGGCCUUUUGGGCCCAGCAUGGGCAGACGGGCCUUAAGCCCAUCACCAAUUAAAACCAUCAUAAACCUUUGAAGAGUACAUCAAUUCAGUGGUAAGAAAUUAGUAAUUGCGUUGUUUGUGCUCUUUUUGUUUAGUUAUAUGAUGGGCAUAUGAGAUAUUUGAAAGGAGAUAAUAUCAAAUAAAGAGGGUGUGCUCGAUUACUGUUCCCCAAGCACUUCCAAGUGAUCCAGUGGAACCAUUGAACGAGAAAGACGUGGCCUCUUCGAGACGGUUAAGGAUUCAAAAUAUUGCUAAGAUUGCCAGAAGUCGUUAAGUAAGUCCUGCUAAGAUGCCAAGCGCUAAAGAAAGAAGUCCAGCAAAAUAGCUGGAUUGACGUUUUGAAGAAGGUUUAGAACUUCAUUAUACCAAUUGAAUAGCUUAACACUUAAUUUAUAUAUGAAGUUUAGGACUUGUAGUGUCAUUUUUCCUCGAAAAUAUAUAUCCUUUUUGCCAGCAAUUUAAGUAUUUGAUAUAUUAGUCAAUCAAACACCUACUUUAAUAUUAGUGAUGGAAACUGAGCCAGUAAAAGAUAAAUAGUUACUUAAAAGUAUAGAUAGAAAUUGCCAUAUGUACCAACUUUAAGUGCUAAAUUUAAAAGAUCUCCAUGUCCUCAUUCUUAUCUUCACAUAGAUCAAUUAGGGUAUCCAAUACAUUGUCCUUCCUAGCAUAAUCCGAUGCUGCCCUCAUCUGCAGCCUUCUCUGUAUCAAUCCUUCGAACAGAUCCAACAUUUGCCCAGAAUACAUCUUCAUUCGACACCUUGUGGGUCAAUCUUCUUUAGCACCAGAAAAUACUCUGCAAUGUUAGGUUUUCCGGCCUCGAUUGUGAUCCGGGAAAUGACCUUCUUGCCGGAAAAAUAUUAGAAUACAUAAAAUAAUAAUAACUAUUGGAAAUACAUUGCAAAAAAUUAAGGAAAAAAAAAAACAAAUGCUGAGGCAUGCAAGCACUGUCUAAAGAUAAUUUCGUCCUUCAGAGUACGAAACUUAGUGCAUAAGGCUUCAGCAGUUAUUCUACCAAAAUACAAUAGAGCUUCUUCUGUACUCUGUACUAAAUAUUAGAAGAAAACAAAACAACUUAUGUGUAUAACCCAGCAAAAAGAAAAUGAAAGAUAUGAGAACAUAUUGUAUCAUCAAAAAUUGUGGUUUAAAGCUUAAUUUAUAUUUAAAUAAGAGAAAGAGAGAGCUAUUAGGAAAUCGUCGUAAAUCAGUUGGUCAUUAAAAGAAUGGCCGUUAUAAAAUAAUGAAAAGUUUAUGAAAUAAUAAAUCAUAAGUUAUAAAGCCCUUAGACGAUCAUUAUAUGGCCAUUAGAAAGCCAUUACAAAAAUUAUGACUUUAAAUACGAUUAUAAUUUCUAAGAAAUAUUUCAAAACUACUUAAAUAUCCAACAAUCAUACACAUAUUUCAAAAAGUUUUGAAAAGACGAAAUAGAACAAUGUUGGGUUAUUGGAGAGUAAUGCAUCGGAACAGGUGCUUGUUGGGCUAUGAAGCAAUAUAUUCAUGGAAUAGUAGGUAAAGUUUGAAACUUCUAUGAACUAAGAAUUUCUUUUUGUAAUUUUCACCAAUCACAUUACACUCUCACAAGGUUUGUUGUCUAACACGGUUUUGCCACUGUUCUUGACUCUCUGUUAUUUAUAUGAAGCAUAUAGCUCAUGACUGAGUUAAGAUUUGACUUCUUAGUGCAUUUGCUUCUUUUAGCCAUAAAUUUAAAGAGGAAAACUACGACUAUGGUAGGACAAAAGUCACUUUCUCGGGUUACUGUUCACUGUGCUCUCUUCUUGGGCGAUUUGUUCACUGUUCCUCUUGCUGCUCGAGCAGCUGAAUUCGGACUUGCUGACUAGCGAUUGAAGCUGGUUCUUGGUGGGAAGUGGCGCCUCCUACCUGUCCAUAAAACCCACCGAAGAUGCUCCUGGUACGUCCCUCCUUAUAGACUCGCAUGGCUCUUCUAGGUUAGGUUUUUCCUUCUUGGGUUGCUGCUGCGAUUUCUUUGAUUGGGAUGGAUUGGGAGUCUGAUAGAACCCGUGUUGUGGAUGAAGGGACUAGUUCCCAUGGUCCAUCUCCUAUUACUGUUGAAGGAGCCCCGUCGACGGCUUUACCAUUGAAUAAUCAGAACCUUGGUACUGUUCAUUCUGGUAUGGAGGAGCUGCGAGAUUCCCGUGCAUCUGCUGGUGCGCAAACCGUCCGUAGGGGAAGGUCCCGAUCGGUGAAGCCUAAGGGCAGAGAUGUUGCGAAGAAUCCUUCGGGCAAGACUUGGGUGGCUGUUGCCAAAACAGUAGCCAAGGGCUACGACCUUGUCUAUACGGCCCCAACCCUGGUUAACAACAAACCCCGCAUUGAGAUAACCGACCGAGACUUGGAAGCUGCGGACCCAAAGAUGCAUGAAUGCUUAAUGGGUUACUUCCUUGGUCGCCGGAUGCCAUUUAAGGUGGUUGAGGAAGCAAUGAAGAAGGUUUGGGGCCCGAAUCUGGUGGAUGUCAUGUCGAAUGGGAAAGGUUUAUUUAUGUUCCACAUACCGGACAUAGAGUUUCGUAGGAAUCUACUUGAGGGUGGGCAGAUUCGAGUUGCUAGUGUCCCCCUUGUUCUCCAGCAAUGGACCCCGGGUCUUGAGCUGCGAAAGGAAACCCACCUUUCGGUGCCUGUGUGGGUCAGGCUUUCGAACAUACCCUUCUCUUGCUGGUCUGCCCAAUUCAUCGGGAAGAUUGCUAGUGCACUCGGGAAACCGUUGUAUGUCGACCAACGUACUGAGCAGGCGAAGAGCUUGUCUUUUGCGCGGGUUUGUAUUGAAAUCACAGCUAAUCAACCUGAUUGUGAAGUUAUUGAGACAGUACACAAUGGUAACGUAUGUGAGAUAGGUGUGGAGUUUGAAUGGAAGCCCAUUGCUUGUGCGGGUUGCGGAAUCUUUGGCCAUAAAUGUGCUGCUAAAAAUAGAUCCGCUGGUCCUUCUGAUGUUCGUGCUGUUGAAUCUCGUCCCUCGGUAGAGACUGUGCCUCAAAACCAGGCUGAUGGGGGAGUCAUUGCUUCCUCUGUUGCUGCACCAUCUAAAGUGUAUUUGGAGUCUCAAGACUUGCCUCGGGAGAAUCCUCCCCAAGCUGUUGCAAAUAAGGUAAGUGACCCAGGUACAACCUCGGAUGGUUCCUCAGCUCACGCUAUUGUUUUGGAGGUAGCGCUCCAAGCCAAUUCUUCUUCUCCAUCUCAACCUACUUCUGUGCUGAGUGAUUCUGUGUGGCAGCAAGUUAAAGGUAAGAAGAAGAAGAAGCAGAAGACUCCGGCCCUUGCGUUCUCUUUUGAACCCACCUCUCCUCCUAUAGGUGGGCAGUCUCUUAAGUUGAAGGAAGCGGUGCCUACUGAGGUUGUGCCUGUACAGAAGCCUCCUAAUCCUUCGAAGCUCUCAGUAAAGGGCAGUCUUGUGUCUUCAAACCAUGAUGCUGAUGACUCGUUACCAACUCCUGUCAUGCCCCUUGAGAACCCGGAUGAUGAAAUCACUGGUUUUGCUUCGUCUAGCGAUGAGGAUGAGAUCCCAAGCAAGCCUCCCUCUCCUAGAGCUCUUUCAGGAUCUGCUGGGUUUGGGAUACAAGACCAACUUCUCCAGCUACCUCCUGACCCGCCUGGAUCGACGCUACCAGUGGUCCCGAAGGCGACUAAAGCUAGUCGCAAGUCCUCCAAGCGGAGGUAGUUCUCUUCUUUCCUUGGAUCAUGUUUUUUGGAUUUUGGAAUAUCAGAGGGAUGAUGAACCCUGUUAGAAGGGCUGAGAUUAGGAAGUUCGUUGCUUCUAAUAGUCUUAGUUUUGUUGGCCUUUUUGAGACUAAAGUCCCUGAGCCGUUGUUUGUUUCUAUUUCGUCUACCCUCCUAAGAGGCUGGAGCUGGCUCGCGAAUUAUGAUCAUUCUUCGCGUGGCAGAAUCUGGAUUGGAUGGAACCCGGAUUCCGUUAAUUUUGAGUUGAUUUCUCUAAAUGACCAAGCUAUCCAUGGACGUUUGAAGGGGAUUUCUUCUGACUUUACGUGUUGCAUCUCUGCUGUCUAUGGGGAGCACACUUUUGUGCGUCGUAGGCCUCUAUGGGCUGACCUUAUUCUUUGUGAUGAUUUAUUUCAAGAUACUGCUUGGCUCGUUGCGGGCGAUUUCAAUGCAAUUAAGGAUCCUACAGAUCGCUUCGGGAGCUCUAAUUCUUGGAUUCCUUGCUUCGAUGACUUUAGAUUUUGCCUUGAUCAAACGGAACUUGAGGACCUUAGGUACACGGGUCUUCGUUUUACCUGGUCCACUUCUUCGGGGUUAGGCAGGAAAAUGCGGAAAAUCGACCGGGUGCUAGUCAACACUAAAUGGAGAAUGGAUUUCUCCUUUUCGGAGGCGUCUUUUCUUAAUCCCGGAAUUUCAUACCACACCCCUAUGGUAGUUAGGGUUGUUGAUCCGAGUUCGAGAAGGAAGCCCUUUAAAUAUUUUGAUUUCUGGGCUGAUCACCCUAACUUCCGUGAUUCAGUUCGUCAAGCGUGGGACAGCCAUGUUUGGGGGAGGCCCAUGUAUAAGCUGGUUUCCAAGAUGAAGAUCCUAAAGCGCCGCCUCAAAGCACUCAACCUUGAAGCCUUUUCAGACAUCUCGAUGAGGACUCUGGAAGCAAGGGAGGCCUUGCGUUCUACCCAGCUUCUUUUGCACUCGGACCCCAAUAAUAUCACUCUUGCUGAAUUGGAGAAAGGCCAGCGUCGGACUUUUGUAGAUCUUCGAGGCCAAGAAGAAUCCUUCUAUAAGCAGAAAUCCAGAGUUAGAUGGUUGAAAGAGGGUGAUCGAAACACGAAAUUCUUCCACAACUUUGUCAAAGCCAGACAUCUAAACAACCGGAUUCUCUCUGUUAAAGACAAUUCAGGUUCGGUUGUUUCAGACCCCAACUUGGUGCCGCAAGUUUUUGUAUCUUUUUUCUCGGAUCUCCUUGCUCCGCAUUCGGGUUUGACGAAGCCUACGUUGCAUGAAUUGACAUCACUUAUUCGGAAGCCUCUUUCGGAUGACCAGGUAUGUUUGCUUACUUCACCGGUCUCGGAUUCUGAGAUUAAGAAUACUUUGUUUUCGCUUGCUAAGGGCAAAGCCCCUGGCCCGGAUGGGUUCACAGCCGAAUUCUUCAAAAAUAACUGGGACAUAGUAGGGUCCUCAGUCCUUGAAGCUGUUAAAGACUUCUUCUACUCAGGUUGCCUCCUUAAGGAAGUGAAUGCAACUAUUCUGGCUCUUGUUCCCAAAGUGCCGAAUGCCUGUGAGGUUAAUGACUUUAGACCAAUUGCUUGCUGCAACACUGUCUAUAAGAUUAUCACUAAAAUUUUGGCCAACCGGAUUGCAGCGGUCCUUCAAGAUCUUGUCAGCCCGUCCCAAAAUGCGUUUGUCAAAGGAAGGAGGAUCAGAGAUAAUAUUUUGCUUGCUCAAGAACUGUUUGUUGGAUUCCACCUUGACCCAUAUCUUCCAAAAUGUGCGGUCAAAGUAGAUUUUCGCAAGGCUUAUGAUACAAUUGAUUGGGAUUUCUUGGAACUUACUCUUGAAGCUUUCCGUUUUCCUCAGUGGAUUAUCCGGUUGAUUAUGGUCUGCGUGCGUACACCCAAAUUCUCGAUCUCUAUUAAUGGAGAGCUCCACGGAUUCUUUCCUGGAGGUAGAGGUCUUCGGCAGGGAGACCCAAUGUCACCGUAUCUCUUUACAUUAGUUAUGGAAAUCUUCUCUGGGAUUUUGAACCUAAAGACUUCUGUCAAGGAAUUCAAGUUCUACUGGAGGUGCAAGGCUCCUAAGCUUUCUCAUCUGUUUUUUGCUUAUGAUGUUUUCCUUUUUUGCCAAGCGGAUUGGAAUUCGGCAGUAAUUCUCAAGAGAAGCUUGGACAUUUUUUCAUCAUGGAGUGGACUGAUUCCGAACAAGAGUAAAUCUGAUAUCUUCUUGUCGGGUGGGACGCCAUUGUUGCGGAAUAGUAUCCUUUUAGAGUUUGGUUUUCGAGAAGGCAAACUUCCGGUUUGUUACCUAGGGGUGCCGAUAAUCUCAUCAAGGUUGGGAAAGGCGGAUUGCCUUCAGUUGAUUAACCGUAUUACGGCUAGAGUUCAUUCUUGGGCUCAUAGAUUUUUAUCGUUUGCCGGGAGGCUCCAGCUUAUAAGGUCAGUUCUCCACUCGAUUCAAGCUUUUUGGGCUAGUGUGUUUACUUUGCCGUCCUCAGUCAUUUUAGGUAUUGAAAGCAUUCUUCGUCGAUUUCUGUGGAAGGGCUCCUCCCUCGAUAAGGGGGGGGUUAAAGUUUCGUGGUUGGAUGUUUGUGUGCCUAAGGAUGAAGGAGGAUUGGGUAUACGGUCUGUGAAGGACUGCAACAAAGCCUCUAUGCUUAAAUAUAUUUGGAUCCUCUUUACAGACAAAGAAUCUUUGUGGUGUCGGUGGAUCCAUUCAAAUUUCUUAAAGAAGCAUAAUUUUUGGGUAGCCCCUCAACCGUCUGUUUGCUCUUGGGGCUGGAAGAAAAUUCUUCAACUUCGUAGUGGGUUUAGGCAGUCGUUUGGCUGGGAAGUUGGGAAUGGGCAGUCAAUCUCAUUAUGGUUCGACAACUGGAUGCCUUGUGGCCCUCUCUAUUCACUGGUCCCUGACUCCUUCUUGAAUGACCCAUACCUUCCUGUGCAUGCGGUUGUGGCGACUCUCUACUCUCAUGCAGCUACUCCCUCCAGAUUACGACUGGAGGAUUGGGGUCUCUCAUUUCCGACCCUCUCUUCGGCCUAUGACCGGUUUGUUUGGCGUGUAGACCCUUCGGGAUCGUUUUCUGUGGCCUCCGCGUGGAACUCCAUCAGAGUCAGGAAGAUUCGAGUCCCCUGGGCUCCUCUUGUCUGGGAUGGGGCCUUGGCCCCUCGUUUUCAAUUUUUGAUGUGGCUCAUCAUCAAGAAUCAUCUGCCAACACAAGUGCGUCUUCUUGCUUUUGGCAGAAUUGAUCACUCGGUCUGUAUCUUCUGCAAGUCCCAGCCGGACUCUAUUGACCACCUUUUCUUCGAAUGCAACACCUCAGCUACUCUAGUUUACUUUUGGGCUUCUAGAUGCAAUUUGCCAUGGAGAAAUGGCACUUGGGUGGACAACCUUUACUGGGCUAUGAAGUUUCUAGUGGGUAAGGAUUUCUUUCAUAGCAUCGCUCGGUUUUCCUUUGGAGCUUUGUGUCAUCUAAUCUGGAAGAAAAGGAAUGACAUGAUAUUUCGAGGAGAUACCUUAGCUAUUUCUGCCCUCAAGAACCACCUGUUUAAGGUGGUCAAAGAUAAGGCCAUUACAUAUAAGAAUGUCCCUGACACUCCAAGGAAUCGUCGCCUUCAGAGAGGUUGGGGUUUUGACCCGUCAGUUUUCGUUAAUCCUCCGGUGUUUUGAGCUGUCGGGUGUGGCACUUUCCAGCGAUCUUCCCCUAGUGCGUGGAGGUUCGGUUGAAGUUGUUGUGCCUGUUGCUUUGUGUUUUCUUUUCUUGUACUGUCGUCUGGCUUGAUUGCGGCCCCCUUCCACUCUCCCUGUUUUUAUGCAGCUAGAGUGAAAGUUUUUGGCGCCGUUUGUACUUUUGUCCUAAGCUCAGUAAUAUAUUCUUACCUUUACCAAAAAAAAAAAAACUACGACUAUGGUUGGUUCUUUAGGGGAUAGUUUUGGAAACUGAUGGCGUUAAAGAGAUGGUUUGGAUAGAAAGUACAAAGCUUGAACCUACUUCCAGCUAGGUGACAUGUCUUGUAUAAGUUUUACGGAUUAAGCUGCUCGAAAGAGGAAAUAGCUAGUUAUGUAAGUUCCAGGGACUUUGACGCGAGAUUGGAUAGCGUGUUCAAUUGUUUCAACCGGGUUUUUUUCUCGGGACAAUUUUGAACCAGUUCAUUCACAAAUUUUUGAACUUCAGUCUUAUUAAGCAGCAAAACAUAUCCGAGGACCAUAUAACAUGAAAAUUCUACUUGAUGGCCAAAGGGUGACUUGAGAAUUUUCUUUUUGUAAAUAUAUUUGCAAAAUGUUUCCUUCUCUUUAAGUCAUUUUAAAUUGUACCGGGAUUCAAAUGAUGAUGAUGAGCAGGAAAAAACUCAAGAAGAAUUUCUGGAAAGAUAUGCCAAAGCUGCGAUUGAUCUUAAAGAUGGUAAUGCCAUUGGAGAGGGAGAUGUCGAAAAUGAAGACCUUGAGCCUGAUUUGGGUAAAGUUCCUUGUUCUACUUGUAAGCUGUGCGAAAAAAAUCGUGGUUUUAGUUACAAACUUAUCUGCUUGAAAGAUUUCACCACCUGAUUGUCUAAGUCACUUACAAUGGACACUAUCAUGCAUUAGAAAUCGAUGAGAUGUAACUUCCCUGCUUUGAUCAUAAUCACAAGCUUCAGGAGUCUCCUGCGGUCGUUAGAUAGCCGUAAAUUAGAAUCUUCGUAGUGCUCUCGAUGGCUGCUUUUUUUAGGCCUUCCUUUUGGAGGUACUAUCAGCUUUAAGGUUCGUUAGUUAGCUCGUUUGGGACACAGAAUAGGUAUGAAGGGUUUGCCAAAGGGCCUGAUGGACUUUUUAAUCCCAUGACAUCUGUCCUUAACAUCUUCCUAUAACUAGUUAAUUAUUAGCAGGGAAGUGGCAUGCGAGGCAGCCAAGUGCAGGCGUAAUAGUUCUUGGCCCCCCUUAGGUUUGCAUAGAAUUCAGAUUGCACUCGGGGAAACUGCCUCAGAACUUUUUUGGGAAUUCCCAGUACGGUUUUUGUUGCAUGAUGUGAUGUCUCUUGUGCAGAUGUUUCGAUUUUUUCAGUGAAAUGAGUUUUCUAUUGGAGAAUUGUGUCCACAAGGUUAAUCCGAGGGAUGAUUUGGACGCUAUGUGGGGUGUUUUUCUUUUUUCCUGUUUAGCAAUUUUCAUGCUCAGGGUAAACUCUGAUAAUCUUGCUAAUCGAUUUGUCUGUAUAAUACAAAAUAGGCCAUCUGGAGGAGGUCGAUCACCAUCGACUCGUCUUCUCAUUGAUAGAAAGAAAUCAAGAAGUCCUCCUUAAAGGGCAGGUGCCACCUCCGCUCGUUUGGACUUCGCACGGUGCCUUCCCCAAGCAGUUUUCGUUGUUGCUGUAGUACAGAUGAAAAAGUUAAAUGAACUUUCCUGCAUUCGAGUGGAGUAGAGAAGUUUGAUCCCGACUCGAUUGAUUUCUACUUAGGGGCGGUCUCUGCCUCGAGAUAAAAGAUUAUUUAAGAUAUAGCCGCUGAGAGGAACUGUAGAGUGCAGAGUGUCAAUGGUUUGUAAUCUCAACAACCAUGUUUUGUCACAAGGUUUGAUUUUUAUUGAAUGCUGCUGGGAUGGCAUCCCGGAGCAAGACUCCAUAUGAAAUAACAUGUGGGUAAAGAAUCCUCAGUGUUUUAACAAUGCGCUCAUAUCAUUUAGUAAACAAAUUUCAGCGCACUUUCUUAGUACAUAUUGCCUUUCUCAAGCGCAUAUAUGCUCUAACUGUACCACCAUUAUGUAUGUCCACCUGGCUUUAACUGUGGUGGAAUGGUAUUGUUUAUGUAGUCAUUUUCUUAAAUAUUAAACUUCCUCACUCCCAAUGUCAUGAAACAUUUAGUCAAUUUUACCGGGCGACAUGUUAACACAAGAACUACAAGGCCUUACCACCGAGUUCAUAGGACUCGGAUUCAAACAUGAAUCCAAUAUAUAUAUAUAUAUAUAUAUAUAUAUAUAUAUAUAUAUAUAUAAACAUGUUUCAAGCAAUAAAACAUUGAAAAUAAAACGUCGCCAAGAACAUUGAAACUACUGAUAUAUAUAUGUGUGUGUGUGUGUGUGUGUGUGUGAACCUACGGAUGUUUUAUGAGGGACAUGGGCGGUGCCGAGGUGGAAAUUUUCAUCCUGGACAUGGGCAGUGCCAAGGCGGACCCACUCGAUGUUGAGGCGGACGAGGCGGACCCACUCAAUGCCGAGGUGGAUGAGGUGGACUCACUUGAUGUCGAGGCGGCCAUGGGCGGUGCUAGUGCCGAGACAUAAGCUGGCGAUGUCGUGCCGGACAUCUGCACGGCGGUUUGAAGAGCAAAGGCGGACAUUGGCGGUGGCGGUGGGGAAGUCAGCGUGGACAUUAGAAAAGCAAAGGCCGGUGUCGGUUUCGAUUCCGGUGGUGGUGUCCGAACCUUGUUGAGAUCAAAGGGCCUCCAAAUUUUGUGUUCCUACGCAAAAGCUUCCUGCUGGUGCUGGCAUCAGAAGGAACGUCUGAAGGCAAAGAAUCAGAGCAAGAGCGUCAGACAAAAGCACGAGAUGGACUACUACAAGGGUAAGGGUGCACGACUCUCAGUAUUUAUGGGAAGGAGGAUUGAU
RNAcentral lists this long non-coding RNA (70167 nucleotides) under Eucalyptus grandis. RNAcentral's name for it is "long non-coding RNA (EGRA_LNC005225)". Lineage: Eukaryota; Viridiplantae; Streptophyta; Magnoliopsida; Myrtales; Myrtaceae. The record is from RNAcentral.